Molecule: long non-coding RNA, 68083 nt
Filed under: Ananas comosus (pineapple)
Lineage: Eukaryota; Viridiplantae; Streptophyta; Magnoliopsida; Poales; Bromeliaceae
Description: long non-coding RNA (ACOM_LNC019009)
Source: RNAcentral
GAGAGAGAGAGAGAGAGAGAGAGAGAGAGAGAGAGAGAGAGAGAGAGGGGUUUUGGGAAGUGGAGAAAACCAACUCUAUCUGCUGAUGACACAGAGAGAUAGUAACGCUUCAUCUACCUUAUAUGGUACCUCAAAGAGAUCUACCUUAGAUGAUAACAAGCAAAUGAGAGUAACCGACCGUCUCUAGAAUAAGGGGUAAAGAACUUGAUGAUUAAUAUUCGAGGUCUCAAGUUUGAAUCCUAGUUGAUUCAAAUUUUCAGUUAAAUUUAUUUUUAAAUGAAAUAAAUAAAACAGAUAACAUGCUACCUAUCUCUCCAAAUAUAUCAUUAAAAAUAAUUCCUUUAAACUCUACUGUUUUAAAUUAUUAAUUAGUAUGGAACAUGCAACAAAUUUAGAUAUAGUAGUAAGUUGUUUAACUUUCAAAUUUAUAAAUGGAAUAUAAAUCAAAUACGUAAAUAAUUUACAAAACCAAACUGUUGUGUUUAAUGCCCAACAUUUCAGCUAUAUUUACGACCGUUUCUAGCGUAAGUGGCAAAAGGACUUGGUGGUUGAUAUCCGAGACCCAAGUUCGAAUCCUAGUUGAUUCACAUUUCCAGCUAAGAUUAUUUCUAAAUAAAAUAAACGAAACGAGUAGCAUACUACCUUUCUCUCUCUCUCAAAAAAAAAAAAAAAAAAAACAAUUCAGCUAUAAAUAGCUGUAGCAUUUACUCGUUUUAUAUUUAGCCCGUUUGUUGUAACUAUACCCACUGACACACCCAGUUUGCACUUUGCACCACUUAAAAAAAGGUGGGGGAAAGAGAAGACACCUGUUUGAUCAGUCCUAGUUCAGAUCAAAGGGACAAAAUUGACUAAAGAGGCCCCUGGAUUUGGUAAGAUAUUUCACUGUCUCACCGGAUUCAAUCAGUGAACCAUCCCCUGUAUUUAUUGUUCUCCUUUUCCAUGGUAAAUGCUUUGGAUCUCCCCACAAAAAAACCUCCUUGUACAGUAUUAAAUGUGCUGAUAAAUCUCACUAGUGUUUUGAAGUAGAUACAUAGAUAAACCAAAAUACUUAUGACACCCUAGGCAUUCAAUAGAUAGCUGCUCAACAUUUCAGAAUAAAUGAUCUAAUUCAACUGUCACAUAAAACACAUAAGAUACUUAGUUUGAAAAGGUGAGUACUUUCGAUUGUUUGGUUGGAUGAUUGAUUUUUUCAAAGUUGUCUAUUUCUACGAGGAACUCGACAUUGCACUUCUCCGGAGUGAUGUCGAGUUUCACUCACAAACUCAAAAAAUUGCUGGACCUGAAAUCAGAUUUACCAAACAAGCCCUAACUCAAUGCAUUACUCUCACUAGAGGAUCCAUCGAAAAUGAAACCAAACUGAGAGCGACAUAAUUGGUAGUUGGAAACCUUUCACAUCAAUAAAGGCUCAUUUCAAAAACGUGCAUAAAGAAAUAUAAAAAAAGGGCUCAGUAAAAAUGCUGAUGUUAGUAGUAAUCGACACCUCUCUAACUAAAAGCUGAUGUUUCCUCUAUAUAUAUAUAAAAAAAAAAAACACUAAAAGCUGAUGUAAGUAAGUGACAGCUUUCCCUCGUAUAUUAUUCUAGCUAGCCUUUCUUUUCAUUUCCAUAUUUUAAUAUUAAUCUUCUAUGAUACAUCCAAUCAAGUGAAUGGACUAUGACAACACAAGACAUCAAGGUUGUAUUCAAAAGAUGUGCAUCACAAGGAAAGGGCUGGGGAUCUCUAUUUCUCUACUUUUUAUUAUAGUACAACUAAGAGGAUAAAGAAACAAAAAAAAGUUGUUCUUAGUGGCUGCAGCCACUUUGUAGAAAGUUUCAGAUGUUUGAUGAAGCUACAGAAGGGACACAACAUACAUUAGAAAAAUUAUUGGGUGAUGCGGUGUAUUAGUACAUUUCAUACUUCAUAUAAAUGUGCAUAAGUAUGUAAAACCAUGGCAUAUGACAUCUUAAAUUUAAAUUUAAAUAUGUAAAAACUCUAAUUCAGAUAACACUCACAAUUAUUGUAUCAGCAUGAAACAACUCUCAUUAAAACAUGAUGUUUAGAAAAUUAGAAUCACAAACUAGCCAAAUGCCAAAGCCAUAAGUACUUGGGCACGAAAUUAAAUUUUGUUACUCUGGAAAGAAAUUAUUCCCCCGCAUCUAAGUCGUGAAAAUUAUUUUCAUCAUUAUUUGGUAUUCAUAUAACAACCGUAGUAAACAAUAGAAGGACAAUUACCUGGAGAUAAAAGUUGCUCGCUGCUGCAGACGCUCCACCUAACACAUGAGGCCUUAAAUUGGUUCAGCUAAGCAUGUCCUAAAAAUUAAACCUACACUGAGAAAAGACUAUUACUCAUAAAAAAUAAAAAAUUAAAAGAAACAAGAAAUAUGUAUAAUCUAUGACAUAAGUAUCAACAAAAACGAUCUAAAUAGUAAAAUGGUUCACAACAAUUUAUUAUAUCGUAUAAAUAAGUGUCGCAUCAGCAUCAUUAUGAAUUUAUGUAGUCGAAAUUAAGACUUGUAAGGAUGAAAAUGAAACAAAAAUCGAACUCUCUGAAUGAAAUUGACAGCAUAAAAUUCAUUUUCAAAUGACUAGUACUGAGCAUGAUCUAUAGAAAUUUUCUCCUUACGCCACAUUUGAAAGAAAUAUUGAAAACCAAGAGUCCUCACAGCAGGUCGUAGAACAUCAAAUGUCAAUAGCCCCAUACACAAUAGAUUGCAAGAUUACUAGUUUCCAAGUACCAUUUACAACACGAAAAAUUAAGUACAAAAAUAAAACCGACAUAACAAUUGGAUGUAACUUAUAAUCGAAUCUUAUAAAUUAUUAGUAAGUUGCAAAAUUUACAUUUAUAGGAAUGUCCCAUAUUUUAUCCAUAUAUAUCGCACUAGACUUGUGAGUUGUGAAUGAGAAGGACUAAGAACCAGGGCCAGGCUUCAUGUGUAAUCACAAAAGCCAUGGCCAAUCUCUAGGGUAGUAAUCAGCUAGCAAGGCCAGAUUCAGCAAGCGAUUCAAUCUCUCGGGUAACAAUCAGCUUGCAAGACCAGAUUCAGCACACCCAAGGGGUGUGCCAUUUUGCACAGGAGCGGAAAACUCUUCUCAGUCACCUGCGAACAACUUCUCAGCGUAAGGACUUUUAGGUGGAGGUGCCUGGCAGAUGCCAGAACCGCAAUGCCAAUAUCGCUGAUCUGGCACCUUGACAUAUCAAGCUCUUUGAGACGAGAGCAACUCACUGAGAUCGCCACGAGGCUCUUGUCGGUAAGCUUCUUACAGCCAUCAAGAUUUAGUAGUUUGAGAGUUCUUCCAUGCGCCUUGACCAGGGCCUCAAUGGCUGCAUCGGUCAGGUCAACACAAUAAGAAAGAUUGACCUUCACCAACCGGUCUCCGGAACCUUCGAUGAAAGGAAGAAGCCCAUUGUCAGUCAAACCAACAAGCCCACUCAGGUCGAUAUGCUCCAACUUUGGGCAGAUGUUUGCCACAAGAGCUAAGCUAUCACUAGUGAGAUCAGGACAUGCGUGAAUAGUCAAGGAUGUAAGAUGGGUGCAGGAGGGGUGUAGCGAAGGAUCAAAGUCCUUAAUCUCCGAACAUUUAGCCGAGGCUAGUGAUUGGUAGUUUGUAUUGGUAUCAAGAGAAGAAAGAGAAACACUGUUGAGAGUGAUCCUGCUGCACCCUUCUAGUUGCAGGCUUUCAAGUGUUCUAGAAGUUUCAGUUACAGCUCUCAGUCCAGAAUCUGACAGGUGGAAAGAUCUGUGGAAGGGCAAAUGUUUCAAACUUGGACAACACUUUCCGAUGGAUUCAAGGGCCAGAUCAGUGACGCCGGAGCAUGAGGUGACUGUUAUGCUAUUGAGAUUUUGCAGGCUUAGAGACUUAGCUGUGAUGCGGAUUUCGCUCUUGCUCACAUUCUGGAGACCACUUAGGGUAAGGUCACUAACACCCUUCCCAUGCCGCCCAACAAAAGCACAAGAAAUGUCACUGAUGUUUAAACCCUCAAGCUUGACCUUCUGGAGGGAAGAAGAGGCAGAAGCCAUGAGGCUCGAGACUCCUAGAUCACCAACUCGUGGGCAGUCCUUGAUAAUAAGGCAGUUCAACUUUUGACAGCAAAGGCCAAUAGCAUGCAGGCCUUCAUUGUGGAUAUUUGCACAUGACUGUACUUUUAGAGAAGUCAAGUUCCGACACUUCCUCGCAACGGCAAUCAAACCCUUCUCUGAGAUUAGCGGGCACUGUGUGAGGUCAAGCUUUUCCAGGAUGGGACAUCCACCAGCAAUUUCAGAUAGGCUAAUGUCAGUGACUAAAGGAACAUUCCACAUUGACAGAAUGCGAAGGGAAGGGCAAGCAUGAGCUACGGCAGAAAGCCCACGGUCAGUGAUACCACAAGUUGGAUUGCCAUAGCUAUUGCUCCCUCGGAUCAAAAGGUCACCAAGCCCUCCACGACUACUAUUACCUGUUUGAUAUAAAAUAUUAACAACAUAUAAUACGAGAGCAAGAGAAUUGAGUUCAAAUCCCACUAGGUCCAUCCACUGUUUAAUUAAAAGAACCGCCUUCCAUGAUGUAGUUGAAAAAUAGGGACCAAAAAAGAAAAAAUAGAGCCGAGACAGAGAGGGAAACUGCUUAAUAAAAAAUUAAAACAGCGUUCUCUAGCAGCCCAAGUUUUUUGAGGGGAAAAUAACAGUCUUCCACAUUACCUACAGCUAUAGCGGCAAGUUGAAUAUCGGUAGCCUGCUUGCCUUCCAAGAUCCUACUAUGAGACUGGUCUACCUCUCCCUCAUCAUCCUCUUCCUCAUCACCGACCCCAUCAGCGUUAAGAUUUGGUAAAAUCUUCCGCUGAACAGCAUCGGACGGGCGGAUGCCGCUCAGAAGGAAAAGCCAUUUUUUGCAAACACAAGCAGAUUUGGUCCUCUCCUUACUCCCUGGAAGUCGCCGGAAGAUCUCAAAGAGGCACUCGUCGGGAAGAUAGUUGACAGUGUCGGACUGAUGCUCUUCUUCAUUAGCCUUUCUUUCUCUCCUUUCCGAGAUUACUGGGGAGGAGGAAAUCCUGGGCAUCUUGCGAGGUCGGCUGUGGGCAUCAAGAUCGGAAGGCAUAGAAGAGACAAAGUGGAAUCCAAAGCAGGGUUUCUCGAGGUUGAUAUCAUCGUCUCCUGAGAAAAUUGCAGGGGAACUAAUUGAUAAAACCGAGUUUGGUAUUGUUGUCAUUUUUUUGUUUCUCGAAAAACACAAAUUCCACCCAACAGAGCCUGCGGGCAGAUGUCUACUGGUUUUACUUGGCAACAAAAAUUUUGAACUUGGUAGUAACUUUUUUUUUUCGCAUUUUUAUUAUUACAAAGAAGAUGCUGUUCAGCAUCAAGCUGGGUGCAUUGGCAAGCUACUCAGUAAUAACACGAACAAAGAAGUCCAUUUGCCGGUGCAUCUAAUCAUUUAAAAUUUGCAUUUAAAACAUUAUAAAAAGAGCAAACAAGGCAGGAAAUUCUAGAUGGUUGAUUCAAAAAUGCAAAAUUGAAACACGGAACCGUGUAAUCUACGCCAAUAUGAUAUGAUCUCCUAAAAGCUUAAUACGUACAUGUAUAUAGCCUAGAAAACCUAAUAUAUGUCACUGAAUAUCUACAAAAGAGGGGAAAAAACGAAAUUUUCCAAAUUUGAAACCCUAAGACUCCCAAUUAAGCCAAAAACAGAGAGGAAUAACAGCAAUUAGGACAUCGCUCGAUCAAUAAAUUCCGAAGAGACAUGAAAUUGAAGCGACUACCUUCGUAGUUGGCGAUGGCCAUCAGUGGUGACGAAGGAGACGAUUCCGAUCGCGAUUACUGAAUAACAGGAAAUCGAAGACGAAGAAGACGAAUUCGAGUUCAUCUACGGGGGAAUCGGGUUUCGCACGGGUAGGAGAGCGCCCCCGAUCAGGGGAUCGUUCUCAAAACCCUAAUCGCGUUUAGGGCUUAAAACGAGCGAGAGAAAGAAAGAGAGAGGGGAGAGAGAGAGAGAGAGAGAGAGAGACUCGACGUUGAGUCUUUGAGCGAGAGACAGGCCGAAGCAACUUAACACGCGUCACGUGAUUGGCACGUGCACUUUGUCCACCUGUCCAUAAACUUAGCGGGUUUCGGGUUUCGGAUUGAAUGUUCGAAGCCUCUCCUGAAAAGAAAUUAUUACGUGGACCAGGUGCACCGUAGACCGCCAGAAUUAUUUAAUGUUUAAUGUGUUCAAAUUAACAUUUUAUUUGCAUAGCUAUGAUCUAAGAAAAAAAAAACUCUAUGCAUAAAAAAUUAUACUAUAGUUUUGAGAACUUAUUAACUAUGUAUUGAACGGUCUAAAUUUUUUUUUUUAAGAGAUAGAUAGCACGCUACCUACUUCGUUUAUUUCAUUUAGAAAUAAACUUAGCUAGAAAUGUGAAUCAACUAGGAUUCGAACUUGGGUCUCGGGUACCAACCACCAAGCCCUUUGCCACUUACUCUAGGGAUGGUCGGUACGGUCUAAAAAAUUAAUAGUAUAGAACGAGAGACUAUUUGAUCCUAUGAUAUAAAGAUGUAUUGGUAAAAUACCUCGCUACACUACAGAGCACAUGUAAGUCGUGAUCGUGAAUGUUUGGGAUACACAUUGAAACUGGUGAGCUCACCACAGAUUGUAUAGGACCAAAGUAUGUGCUCUCUCACGAGACAGCAAGUUUUCAUUGUGAUUUUUAGUUCAAAAAAUAUCGUAGGUUCACGAGCUAAUUAUUUUUAUUGUAACAAACACAGCUUAGAUGUUCAUAAUUUGUGACUUCGUAUGUAAAUCUUCCGAAUAUUAUAAAAUAUAAGUAACUAAUUAAAUUUUAAUUUUAAAAUUUUUAUGAUAGCUAGAGUUUUAGGUUAUGGUGCACCGGGUGCAUGAAAAGAGGAAAACAAAAAUAUGAAAGGGAAAAAGCAGUAGUUGGCACUUAGCGGUAGUGAUGAGCAUCUUCCAAAUGCAGUCAAAAUUUUUAAUUUUUUAAUUUUUUAAUUUUUUUUUUUUUUAUGUGGGGUUACUGGUUAGGAAUUAUUGCAAGUGCGCCCUUUAUAAAGGUUUUUUUUUUUUUAAAAAAAAAUGGCCCUUAAAACAAAAUUUAAUUUUGUGACGUGAUCGAGUUACAAAUUCUUAGUACACAUUUUGCUUAAUGCAAUUAAAAUUAAAUUUAAAUUCUAACUAACCUUGUUCUCAUCAAGGAACAAAUUUAUUCCAGAAAAAAUGUGGAAUAGCAGUUUCAGUCUUAUACCAGCUUAUUCUUUAAACUCUGAAACUACUAUUCUCAGGUACCAAACAUCACGUUUAGAAACGAAGGGGGAAAACAAGGGCUUAUUUUCUCCUUGUUUCCGAACCAAAUGCUAUCUAAAAGUUAUAAUUUCGAUUGAGAAUUUAGUACAUGUUACCUUGAAAAACUAAUUUUUCAUCUUUUUCACAAAAAUAAAAACUUUAGUUUUCUGUCAAAUUUGAAAUUUAGUUCUUCAGUAAAACUAUUUUUGCUCGAAGACAAACAGACUAUUUGUGAAAUUAACCAAGAUCACGAACUGUUAAUCAAGUCAAACCAUUUGUUUGGUUCACCAAAGGGGGAAUCGAAAUAGACAAGAAUAAGAAAAAGAAAAUCAUAAAAUUGCCUCCAUCACCGACCGUUCCUAACGCAAGUGGCAAAAAGGUUGGUGGUUGGUGGUUGGUAUCCGAGAUCUCGAGUUCGAGUCCUAGUUGAUUCAUAUUUUUAGCUAAAUUUAUUUCUAAAUAAAAUAAACGAAGCAGGUAGCAUGCUACCUAUCUCUCAAAAAAAAAAAAAAUUGCCUCCAUCCAAAACUAAGAAAAAAAUUACUAAACUUAUUAGAAAAAUAAAUUAUUUAACAAAAGAAUAUUUUAUCAUGAUUUGAUCAAUUCUCUCCCAUAUUUUGGUUGUAAUAUUUUACCUGUUGACCUCGCUCUUUUCAUGAUAUAUAUAUUUGGUGUAUUUCAUGCACUCAUAAGUUGGACCUUUAAUUGGUCGAUUUCAAAGAAACCGUAAUAUUUUUCAGAUAAAAUAUUUUGGUCUGACCUCUAUGAGAAGUCUCAGUUGUACUCAGUCUUUGCUCAUGAUUUGAUCAAUUAGUGCAAUUAUUUGAAUCUUUCUCACAAAUCUGCUCUGUAAUUCUAAAAUUGGUCCAGCUCUUAAGGAUAGGAUUUCCAAUGCCAAAUUAGUCGGGGACAGAACAGUGUACAUUGGCGUUGGAGCACCGAUGAAUGAUUUACUGUGAAGUCAACUUAUUCAAUUCUAAAGGAUGUAGGCACGUGGGACGCCCAUACGUGCAGAAUCUGGUCUUUACGUCUACCUCUUAAAGUGAAAGUGUUCAGUUGGUUUGUACUAAAGAAGAGACCACUGACAGUUGACAAUUUUGUAAAGAGGGGAUGGACUGGUAACACAAAAUGCAUGUUGUGUGAACUGGAAGAGAAAAUAGUGGACCACCUAUUCACUUAGUGUGUGGUCACUAGAUUUCUUAUGGUGUCGACCCAGGAGAUUAUCCAUAUGGGAGAUUUGGGAUAUGAAGUGCAUAUGAUCUGGAAUAGAUGGACUGGAAGAAAGAGAACCCAACCGACCUCAACUGGGCUUUUAGGACUUAUAGCCUGCUGGUGGGUCAUUUGGGAUUUAAGGAAUAAAGCGAUUUUCAGGAUGAUCCAGACUGAUCCAAUAGUCGGUAUACACAAAAUUAAGCAGUUGACUGACCUGUGGAAGAAAAUUAGGCCGGAAAAGUGACCCAACUGUUAAUGUUAGAAGGUGACCCAACUGUAAACGUUGUUUUUUUUUUUUUUUUUCCGCCAUCCUUUGAGGCUUAUGCUGCCUCACCCAUGUAGCUUAAUUCACUUUCUAACUGAAUAAAGUGGGUAGCAUGCUACCUUUCUCUUAAAAAAAAAAAAUCUAAAAUUGGUCAUGUAUCAUACAUUAACAUUAUUUGUUCACCGUUGCUUUGGCAAGUUAGAUAAUAGUAAUCUAUCACUUAGUUCUAGCACCUCGUUUUCUUCCGUAACUUUCUGCUUAUCUGAAACGACAUGCAUUCUUUUUUCCUCCUGCUACUAAAUUGAUCUCCUUAGUUGUGAAAUCAAUUUUCAAUUACUGAAAUAAUGCUUGAUUUUUCUCCAAUUCUGGAAUUUAAAAUACCUCAUUUCUUCAAGUUUUUGAUAUCUCAAGGUUUUACUUCUUCAGAGUCAUCACCAGUUACCAUCCACUCCAAUUUUGGUCACUUGACUUGGACAUCUUCAACUCCUUAUGCUCCGCUACGCACAAUCCAUUCAUGAUUCAUGUAAUUUGACAUGACCUGACAUAAAGUUAGCAAGUUUACCAAAAAUUGAAUUCUAAUAAUUAACCUGCACAAAGUUUUAUGUAGACACGCACAUCUUAGUCACAUCUUAAGACUUUUUUUUUUUUUUUUUUUUUUUUUUGCCCAUCCGAGGAAGAUAGGUUUGCCUAUUUACUUCAUUUAUUUAUAACGAAAUAUAAACUGAGUUAUUAGAAGUGGGACAAUUGGCUUCAAGAAUCAUAAACAUCCUAAGCAAGAGCAGACUGAAAAAAAAAAAAAAAACCUAGAAUGAUAUAAUUACAAGCUAAGAUAAUUUAUGAUGUCCAUUAUUAAAAUUCUUUCCAUUGCUUAGCUAACACUUUGGCCCUACGAAAACCUGACUGCAUUGAUCAGAUUGACCAGUAUAUUUCUAAUGGGUAUCCAUUUAUGACUCGUCAAUUGCAACAAUAGAUUCAUUUGAGACUACUAUAUAUAUAUAAUAAUACUAUAUAUAUAUAGUAUAUAUAUAUAUAUAUAUUAACUAUUGGGGCUGCUACAUUAAUGUUAAUCAAACCAUAUUUUCUUGCUUAUUGGUAACAAUCUCUUGUGCGUUGACUCAAUAAAUCUUUUUGGCUCGUACCUGCCACCAACUAACCGUUCACAAAAUAAAAUUGAUGUCCCACUUAGUCGACCCCAUGUGGCUAUUGUUGACUUUUAAUUUAGGCAACCAAUCCUCUUAGAUUGUCUAAACUUUGUUUGUCUCAGCAAAAGGGACACAUAUUGUAAACAAAACAAUGCAAUUAAUUAUUCGUUUAUUCUAUUUUUUUGGUGUGUUAAGGUGAAAAAUAUUGUAUGGAGUUCGCGCCCCUCAACUCUAUAGGUUAUUUUGAAAUGGCCCCCUCAAUUAUACUUUUACUGAACGAUUCGACCGUCUUAACUUCUAUUUAUUUUUUAUUUAAGUUGUUCCCGUUAGUUAAGUUAAAAUUUUUACCAAAUAUAAUGGCUAUGUUAAUUAUUCGGUAGUCAUUAAUUAACCGUUCCAAUCUCAUUCGCUAAAAAAGGACUAAAGCUAAUAAAUUUGAGAGAAAUUAUAGAUGAAUUUAGUAUAAUGUCUAAUUUAUUUGACUGAAAUUACUAAAUGUUAAAAAAAAAUAAUAAUGAUUUUAUAUUAUAUAAUGAGUUCAACCAUUUCUUUUGCAAAUAAAAGUAAAAUAAUUGACAUAUAGUAAAUAACAAAUUUUUAUCACUAGAAUAAGUUAAUUUUUUUUUUUUAAAGGGACUCCUUUCAAGACGUCCGAUAAUUGAGGGGGUGUUCAUAAAUUUUGACCUAUAUUUUUAUUUAUUAAAGUCCCUCCAACUUUUUGUGUAAAGCCGGCCCCCUACCCCCAUCCCCCCUCCCCUCCCUCCCCCCCCCCCUCAUCUGACGUGGCAUGUGGACCCCCAACAAAGUAAACGGCGGGCGCGUAGUCUUCUCCAAUGAAAACCCAUGCCUCACUGGUGUUUACACCGGAGUUGACUUUUCCUCCUACAAUAAUAAACAUUGAUCAAUUUGGUCGCAUUAUCUACUCUAAUUAUAUAAUUUUAAUUGCAUAUAUAUAACUUGUUGUUGCUGUUGUUGGUUUACAUUGCAACACUUUGUUCCAUGGCUUCCUCAAGGUUUGAUGCCGUCGAGACCCCGAUCUCGAUCUCGAUCUCGAACUCGAACUCGAACUCGAACUCUCGUCCUCGUCGAAUUGAGCUACAAGCCCCGCGGCCUGCGUCGCUGAUGCUCCGCGAGGGGUCGCGCACGAUCGACAAGCGGAGGAAGCCGGUGAUCAUAUACAUGGUCUCGCCGAAGGUGAUCCACGCGGAGGCGAGCGAGUUCAUGUCGUUGGUUCAGCGCCUGACCGGACCCGACUCCCCCACCUGCAACAACAACAGCAGCUCAGAAACUCCUAAAUCCUUCACCGCGCACCGCCACAGCCGCCACCGGAGUACUCAGGGCCGACAGUUUCCGGUCCGCGUCAAGGCGCGAACACUGAACCCUUCUAGAAGUAUUGAAGCCUUGGCUCAUGAUCAUCAUCAAAGUCGAGUACCGGUUCAACCGAUAUCUCCGACUCUAUUUUUACGUGAUUUGUGCUCGCCUUCGAUCAGCGGCGGUAGCUCUCUGAACUGGUUGCUGCAAGGGGAUGAUCUCUUGACUCCGCCUUCGAGUUUGCGCGGUUCGCAAAACUACCUUGAUAUAUUCAGCCAAGAAUAGAAUUCGAUCUCUCGACGCGUGUAGUCGGUGACGAAAACGGUGAUUUGCAAGUACUACAUGCAUGGUUUAUCUCAAAAUCAAAUCCUAUGCUCAAUAUUGAACCUUGUUUUGGUUUUUUUUUUUUUUGUGAUUUUUGUAAAUAAUGAGGAGUUUGUUAUUAAUUAGGUUCUCAUUGGUAAUGGUGUGAGGGUUUGUUUGUUUGUAUUAUAUUCAAAUAUGUAUGUGCUGUUGAAAAUGACAAUGUUUUCAUACUUGUUUCUGCAUGAGAAUGACAUCGAUGAAUUAAGGGAUAUGGUGCAUCUCAGAUGAGCCUAAACCAUUCGCAAAUUUAAUUUGUGAAGCACUCUAAUUAAUAUCUUUUUAUGAAGAUUAUCAACCAUAUUUAGUUAAUCCAUAUGAGUAAAACAUAUAUUAUUAGGCACAUAUAUGCAUUAGAAAUGGAGUUAAAGCGACAAAGAAGUGAUAGACCGAGGAAAGGAACUGCGCGUGUUAUGUCACUUUUUAGUAUAAAUAGAUAAAUUCAAUGUUAAAUCUAAUUAAUAACUAUUCACUGGUGGAAUUUGACUAGAUUCAUGUAGAAAAUUCACUUGUAAGUGCUUAUCUCUAUACUUAUUGUACUACACUGGAAGAAGCAAUUGCCUAAAAAAUGAUCUCCAUACAUUAGUUGUAAUGAAUUAUACUCGAUCCCCACAAAAAAAAAGGGAAUGGAGCCAUUGAUCAUCUUUCUUUUUUUUUUUUUUUUUUAAAAAGAAUUAAUAGUGCCUAUUUGAUUUAAUUUUGGCUUAGGUUGGAUUAUUACAUAUUUGUGACUAAUCAUCUCUCUUUUUUGGUAAAAUAUUAUGCCUACAUACUUGCGGCUUAGCCCACGGUACUUUCACUUUUAUAAAGGUGGGACAUUUGAAUUAACGAUCGAUACUAUCAGAAGUGACACUGUUAGGAGUAUCAAGGAAUCAAAUUUCGUACUUGUGGACAUACUUCGACACAGCUUUUUUUUUUUAUGCGCAUUCAUUGCAUAUCAUUUUAUUGAGGAUAUAUGCACACUCUUUUUAGAACAGAUUUAAAUCGAGGACUCAUAGGCUUAAAUGCAUUAUUAUCAAAUGAGCAAUAAUUAAUUAAUUAUCAACAAUUACAGUUGGAACAAGCCACAAAAAGGAAAGCAUUGUUAGACUAUUGGUAAUGAAAUAUGGCAUGGGAGGAACUACUAAUUAAAUAGAACCUUCUAUAAGAAAUAUUUUAUCCUAAUUUAGUUUGUGACAAUAAAUAUGUUAUAAAUCUAUUUAAUUCCCUAGCUUAGGCACAAAAUAAUCUGCUUCUUUUGGCCCCCCCAAAACAGUUAAAAUUUGAUAGUUGAGCCUUGAGUGCUUUCUUAUAGAGGUGCAAAAAAAUAUGUUAAGGAGUUAUUGAGAGAGCAUAUAUUGUAGAAUCUUUUCGCCAUAUGUGCAUGAAUUGUUUCUAAGCAUUAAUUUGAAGACACCUUUAGAAAUGUUCCCUAAGGAGAUGGAUGAUACCUUUGUUCUAUAAAUUUGAAGACACCUUUAGAAAUGUUCUCUAAGGUGAGACCCCAUCACCAUAAAUAAAAUCAAAAGUACUCAGGCUCCUCCCAUUUAUUUUUAUAUCAAGGCAAAGCAUGGUAUAGCUCUUUUUUUAAAAUAAAAAAUUUGGGGGUUUGUUCACUAAUAGCUUGAUUGUAGGAUAUGGUGCCCUUUUUUUCUUUUCUUUUUUUUUUGGUUCUAACCUAUAAUUCACUGUGUUUUUUUCCUUUCUUAUUUUAUUAUGGUAUUUAUAUGUAUUUAGGCAAUCACAACAGUUAUUGGGUUGGUGUUUCUAUUUGGUGUUCAAUUAACAUUUGGGGAGCCUAUUUACAAUGUGAUUGACUAUGCUGCUAAAGGAGAUGGCAAAACUAAUGAUACAGAUGUAACAAAACUCUCUCUCUCUCUCUCUCUCUCUCUCUCUCUCUCUCUCUCUCUCUCUCUCUCUCUCUCCAUAUUUUUUAAUUACAUAGAUAUAUUAUUAAAUAUGUUAAAAAUAUCUAUAGCUAUAUUUAUUUAUACGACCUUAUUUAAUCACUUAAAUGGUCGUGCUUUUGUUUCUGUUUGUUUCAAAUGGUUAUGUUUGGAGCAAAAUGGAUCUUUACGCAUUAUUUAUUUUUCUUACUCUUCAUGGUUUAAUACAACCUUACAAAAAGCAAAAAAUAUAGCUCUCAUAUGAAUAAACAUACUAUUCAGUGUGAGGCUACUAUACUUUUAGAAGCACGAAGCCUUCCGUACUUUCACAUCGUUUUCGAUGUUGCGACUUUCGAAUCGUCGAUCGGCUCAGUUAAACUUGAUCUAGAGUAUUUGAAGUAUCUAGAAAAUAAAUUUUAUGAUUUUUCGAUAUUAUUUGCCUAGUGAUCGAAGGGGCUCAAAAUCAAUAAUUUUAAAGGCCGAAGUGAGUCGCUUGCAAGUUUAACGGUGUAGAAAUAUCCAAAUCACGUGAAAUUUUGAUAGAAAAUUUUUUAUACUAUAUAAAACAAAAUUAAUAUCUUUCAUUUAAAAUUUUAAUGUCAUAUUAUCACGUUUUGUAAAAUUUUUAUUUUCAGCCGUUGAUUUUGAGCCCCUUCGUUCACUAGGCAAAUAAUAUCGAAAAAUCGCAUAAUUUAUUUUCUAGGUACUUCAAAUACUUUAGGUCAAGUUUAACAGAGCCUUCCGUGGUUCCAGAAGUAUAGUAGCCUCACUCUUCUAUUCAAGAAAUCUAAGUUAGUAAUAAUAAUAAUAAAAAUCUAGCAUUUCAAAUCCGAACUAUAAAUCUAUGCUAUUGAAUCAAAUCCCCCCAGAAUUGCUAAAGUAGCUAAUAUAAUUAAUUUGCUUCUAGAUAUGCAAAUACUAUUAACUUAAUUUCUCUAUCAUUUGGUUUUCUCUUUUUUGGGUUCCAACUCAAAAUUAUGUUAAUUUAUGCUAAAAUCAUAUAGUGCUUCGAAAUUAGCAUGAACUACUCCACUCCAAUUAAAGUUUAUUUAAAAUUUACGCAUGUUUUUUUAUUUUUUAUUUCUUUUUUAUAAUGAAGGCAUUUUUAAAAACAUGGGAAGCAGCAUGUGGAGAUUGGAGCUACUCAACUCUCCUCAUCCCCUCAGGAAAAACUUUUCUCUUGAGUGGAAUCACUUUUUCUGGUCCAUGCAAAAAUAACAUUCACGUUCAGGUACAUAUAUACAUUAUCCAUGCACUUUUAAUUACAAUAUUCAAAUUUAUAAUUAAAUAAUAGGUACAUGCAAAAUAUAUAAGCUAUAGACAAAUUAAGAGAUGUAAUGGAUGCGAGAUGACACAUGAUAAGAAAAUACGCCAUUUGAAUUGCUAAGAAAGUUACUCUACAUGUAUUGUAAAAUCGAUCAGAUAGAAAAUAGACCAGAAAUAUUAUUUAAUAUAGAGUUAUUUGUGUCGAAGCAAAUAAUUUAUAUAAGAUGAUGUAUAUAAAUAUGUGCAGCUUAGUGGAAAUAUUACAGCACCAAAUACUUUAUGGACAAGGGAAGAGACCAACUUGGUGACAUUCAUCAACAUCAACAACCUCACAUUGGAUGGUGGGGGCCAAAUCGACGGCCAGGGAUCUAUCUGGUGGGAUUGCUAUUCCAAACAUGUGAGUACCCCCUCUCACUCUCUCAUCAACUUGAUCAAUUUUGAAGGAUAGUGUUAUUAACAGAGCGUAAACUAUUUUAAAUUUAUUAAAUCUGAAACAAAAUUCAAUCAGAGUGAAUCAUUGCUCUGUUCACAGAAAUUGUCAAUCAUACAGAUAAAGUGGCUCUCUUAAUAACAGUAUCUACAUAUUUGAAUCCUAAUUUAAUUGAUUUUCCACCUCUAUUUUGCACAGACUUGUAGCAACAGGCCUUAUGUAAGUCUCUCCUUCCCAUACUCAUACUUUUCAAGUUACAUUUACAUAACUUCUAUUUUAUUACAAUGUAUAUAAUAUAUAUAUAUAUAUACUGUUAAAAAAUUAUGUGAUUAUAUAUAUAGAUAGUUGGAUUCUUGGUGUGCAAUAAUCUCUGGAUAAAAGGAAUAAACCUGAAGAACAGUCCAAGCAAGCAUAUGACAUUUUACGCUUGUAACGGCGUUUUCGUUGACUGGGUCUUCAUUACGGCGCCCGGCGACAGCCCCAACACCGACGGCAUCCUCGUCGCCGAUUCCCAUCACGUCCAAAUCCAGUGGACCACCAUCGGUACCGGUACGUACGCACGAAUCAUCGUAAUCCUUAUAAUAUGCGUACAUACCGUAUACUUAUAUAUGUACUCCGAUGUAUUCCUACUCUUGUACAUGAUUCACCAAAGUCCAUAGGAAAUCAUCAUUGUCUUAGGUUUUGAAAUCGUUGUGUCCUUUUGCAUAUUCCACGGUAACGGCUACGACGACGACAAUGAUGAUGAUGAUGAUGAUGAUGAUGAUGAUGAUGAUGAUGAUGGUCAUGGGUGUUUGCAGGAGAUGAUUGCAUUGCGAUUUUAUCCGGUUCGUCGGACGUGAACAUCACUGGGAUAACAUGUGGGCCUGGGCACGGCAUCAGGUGUGUCUAAAUGUUCUACCAUCCUAGUGGAUCAGGAUCUAAUGAUCCUCAACCUUUAGAUAUAUUCGCAACAUGUGCAGUGCAGAUCCCCCAGUUUUUCAGUUAAGAAGGCUCAAGCUAAGCCUUUAACUAGUGUUUCAUAGCAGAUUGAUUGAUAAAAAAAUAAACCCCGAGUCAUAAACUUUGUGAAAUUAUUCAAGGAAAUUGUUGAUUAAUGAUAAAUUUGUGCGCGAUUAAUAUAAUGAACAGCGUAGGGAGUCUGGGGGGGCGUGGUGAGACAGCCAAGGUAGAGCGAAUCCAUGUCUCCUACUGCAACAUUUUUCAGGCUUUGACUGGUGCAAGAAUCAAAACAUGGCAGGUAAAUUUAUGAGCCUCUCUUUCACUAUCAAUUUUGUACUCUGUAUGUGCUUAUCAUAGCAAUAACUAAUGUAUGUAAGUGCCUUUUAUUUUGUGUGUGAAGGGAGGAGCAGGAUAUGCAAAGGAGAUCACUUUUAAGAACAUCAACAUGUCCUCUGUUCAGACUCCCAUCGAUAUUGACCAGAACUACUGCCCUUCAGGAAAUUGCCCCCAAAAGGUAAGCCCCCGAUGCAUAUCGGUGUACACAUUCAUCACUACUUUAAGAUUCAUGCGUUGUAUGCGAUGAACGAAUGAGAAGACUAUGAUUGAUAAGGCAUAAAACUGAAAACAUACAUAAAUAGCCGGGAGCGGUGGCGAUAAGCAAUGUGGAAUUCAUGGACAUACACGGGACGUCAGCAGACGAGGUCGCCGUAAAACUCGAUUGCAGCGACAGCGUUCCGUGCAGGGAACUCCUUUUCGGCGGCAUUUUGCUCACCUGGGAGGGGAAGUCGGCGCCGGCGAAAGCCACCGCCGUCAAUGCCUAUGGCAAAACUGUUGGGAUGGUUACACCCCCAAUUUCCCUCAAAUAGCAAAGUUGUGGGAAUGAUUCUUUUUAUGUUCUCCCUUUUUAUGGUUGAAAUUGAUUUAGUUUUGAUAACUUAGAAAAUUUGUCACUCUCUAGGUGAAAAAAAACAAAUGAAAGAGGGGAAGAGUAGUUUUAGUGGAAACAUAGCCUGCAAAUAAUUAAUUUGGAGUGGCAUGAAAAUGUACUGUUGAUGGUUGUGAAUUUACAUUCCAGCAGAUAUUUCGCAUUGAUGCCACAGAUCACAGAUGUUAAUCCAGCCAUUAAACUUAACAAUUUUUCAUGAGAAUUCAUAUGUAAUCUUAUGCAAAAAAAUAAAAAUGCAACACUUCAAGUAGAUUCAUAGAAAGGUUUUGGAAAAUCUCAAACUUGGCAAACAUGAUGCUCACUACAGAGGCAACAGCUAACCUAGAAGCACACUGAUAUACCAUGUAUCAUCUCGAGUGUUGCGGCACAAAAUUAACCAUAUAAAUAAAGCCAAAAGAGAUGCGGAAAAAGGAAAAGAGCUGAAUUUUAGCUUUGCUCCUCACUGUCGGCAGCGUCCCUUUCUUCUGCAGCAGCAGCCAUCAAUUCGUCAAACUUCUCCGUCUUUCCCAGCAAUAUCUCGAUCUACGAAUUAGUCCCAAGUUUAGUACAUGCGAAAUUUGACCACCAUCUAUCUUUCUUACCAAAUAUAAGAAGAAAGACGAGGAAAAUAUAAGGGUAAAUGGUGUAAAAUAGUUAUGCAAUCAGAUCUAACCUUUGCUUUCUGGAUCGGACGACCUCUUGAUUCGUCUUUCAUAUCAACGGUAGAUGUCAUGAUCUCUACCCAAAAUUCAAGAAGGGUAUAGUUAGAGAAGAAUUUUGACCUUUGAUUAAGAAAAAGGAGUUGCAUAUAUUUUGCACAAAAGAUAGUGCAAUAAAUUAACAGAAGAGACUGGAGAAGCAAGAAGUGUACUCUUCUCGACCGCAAGGCCAUUGUUUUUGAGAAUCUCGGCAACGGUUACGACAGUAGCAAUUGCUGAAAAAUUGAAUACGAGAAACUUAGUUAAGUGCAAACAAACAAGGCAAUAGAAGAAGUAACAGGCAUUCGAACAAUUCUAAUCAACAGCAUAUACAGUUCAAUUUAAAGAACCAAUCUUGAGCACAACUGUACCAAUAGCAGUUGAAAUCUGAAUUAAAGUACAUUCGAAUUGUACAAUACAUCAAUAACUAGCCUCAGAAUAGUCAUAAUCAAACUAUAUGAAAACUUGAAGAGCGCUGCUAAAGAGAUCCAAAGCAUAUCUAUCCAUACUAACUUCGUGGAAUAAAAUACCUUGAAAACCGGCCUCAGCAUAAUAAGAUACUAUGAUACUUUUAUACGCUUCGUGGAAUCAAAUAGAUAAGUAACAUUAGAUCCACAGUUUUGAUAACUAAUCUCAAAAUAUUCAUAACAAAAUGAGGACCGAAAUAGGUUGGACUUCGUAUUUACACAAACUUAGUUUAUCACACAGCUCUGCAUGACGAUUUAGCACGCACGCACGCACGCACGCACACACGGCACACAGAUUGCACAAAUUAUUAUUAUUUUUUCACUGUCCACAUACAGUUAAAGAAUAAGAGGCUUUUGCAGAUGUUCCUCACUAGGUCGAUCAUGUUACUUAAAGUACCAAACUAUUCUCUUAAGUGCUCAACAAAGUUAUGAUUUUCACAACUAUUCUAGCAUGAUGUUGCAAGUAGUCGGUGAAAUAGGAAGGAGAGGAGUUAGCCAAUGAAUAAUUGAUAGCAGGGCCGCAUAAGUAUGAAAAAGAUAGAAUAUAUUAAAUUAGAAAGUACUUGCAUUAUUGAUGGUUAUACAUGAGAAUGUUGAAAAACUAAUUAGGCUUUAUAAAAUCCCCAUCAAUGUUAUAUCCCAAUAAACAUUCAUUUAUAACUAAUUACAGAGGCCACAAGAUCAAAAUAAAAAGACAUGGAGAAGUGUAAGAAACAAUACCCAUUCCGAGAGCCGAAAGCUCCACUUCAUUAUGCUGCUGCAUAUACCUCUGCAUCCACAAUUAAAUUCAUCAGCCAAAAAAGGUUACAAUAGAUUUAAAAAAAAGAAGAAAAACACAAGAAAUUACAAACCUAUUCUCAUCUAACUAAAACACAUAAGAUCAUAGUAAAAAUAUGAACUUUACAUGUCAGAAACAAUAAAGGAAAGAAUAAAACCAUUAAGAUCCAUACUUUAAACUUCAAAAUACAAAUACUACAAACAUCACAACAGAAUAUAAACAAAUCAAGCAUCCCGAAAAGGAAACACCGCAACAACAAAAGUAGAUCAAAACUACUACCAAAAGCUACGGGAAAAACACCAAAAAGAGCUUCCUUCCCCCCAACCUUGCCAAAAAAAAAAAAGGAAAAAACUACACGGGGAUGAUACUGAGAAAGGAGCCUUUUGUUUUACCUUGGCGAGGUUGACGUAGAAGAAGAGCGGCUUCUUAGUGUUGGAGACCUGGAUCCGGUUCUUCUUGUGGGGCUCGGCGACGCUGAGGUUGUUCACUCCCUCGGUGAUCUCCUCCAUGGCAAACGAUCGCACCACGAGAACCAAAAACUCUUAACCCUAACCCUAGUUUCGCCCCAGGAGAAGCAGCUAAAGCCUAAAAAGACCUUUUUAAGGCGUUGAAUUAAAAUUGGGAUUUUUUCUUUUUUUUUUUUUUUUGGCUUCUUUUCUCUGGGGAAGGAAUUGUCAUAAAUAUCGAGGGUUAGGGUGUAAAAGUGGUCAGCUAAUAAUAGCCGUCCGAUCCGAAUUCGAGUUAGAUUUCGGUGGAAUCCGAUUUUAGUUUAGUAUAUACACAAUACAUGAAAAUACGAUUUUUUUUAAUUAAAAAAUACUUCAUCUUAAUUUAUCUACAGGAUUUUUGUAAAACUCACUCAUUUAUCUGGUCUAAUUCUACGGUUUUAUACAUACGUAUACAAAAAUUAAUGUACACUGUAGUUACUUAAAUUAUGCCCAUGUGGUGCCUCUGAUUUGAAUAAUCUAUAUGUUUAUUUGGAUAUUGUAUAUAUCUUUAUCAUGUACGUAUUCAAAUUUGUAUUCGAAUAGGUAUGUAUAUAUAUACUCACUAUCUAUUUUGGAAUGGUAAUGGGCCGGUAUAGGCCCAAAGCCCAUUGAACAAGUUCUAUAACGUGAAAUAAGCUUUGCACGUAAUGGGCCUAGCUGGGCCCUUUAUUGCCAUUCCCAUCACAAUAUGAUCGAAGAGCUUCCGCGUAUGGCUCAUUUAAUUAAACAUUUUUAUUUGAAAAACUUCAAAUACCACAUCGGUUGUUUCAUCCUUUUUCAUUUUAAUAUCCUAUGAUUUAAAGUGUAUCAAUUUAGUGUCAUGUGAUUUCAUUUUUAUCUUUUUAUUAUCGAUUCCAAAAAUUUUUUUGGUUAAAUCAGUUACAAAAUUAAAACUAAAGGGUAUUAAAGUGAAUAUUCGAUAAAUCUAGAUGAACUAUAUGAAGUUUUUUACAUAUAAUUUAAUAAAAUAUUAAUAAAAAAAAUUGAUGAAAAGAUAAAAAUGAAACAACAAGACACUAACUUGAUACACUUUAAACCACAGGAUAUGAGAUAUUUGAAGUGAAAAAGUGUGAAAGUGUAAAACUGCAGGAGUGGUAUUUGAAGUUUACCUUUUUAUUUUGUGUAGGAGGGUAAGAACAAAAUUCAUCUUUAAAGCUACUGCAAAUGAAAUUAUCAUAUUGUCACUGAUUAUAUUUUUAUCAUCUUACAUGACACAAUAAAAUUAAUCAAAAUUAAUUUUAUUGUUUAAAAUAACUUAUUAUUUAAAAUGUCAUAUCAUACAAUAAAAAUAUUUAAAGUCUUAAAGCAAAAAUAUUUCAUAAUUAGAAGAUACGUAAUAAAAAAUUAGGAUUAAAAUUUUUAGGAUGGAUAAAUAAAAAAAUAUAUAUAUUAAUUAAGAAAAUAUAUUUUGUAAUUAAAAAGUAUAUGUGUGGGUACUUGUGGGUACCCGCGGAUUACCCAAAAUGUUUACAGAGUAACGGGUAUCCACCCGUUUUAUCCGUAAUUUUUUGAGUUAAAAAAGUUGAUACUCAUAUUCAUAAAUUUGUAAAUAACUCGUCAGCAUUCGCGGGUUUGGAUGGAGAUUGCCAGGUCUAAACACGGGGCCAUGCAGUUGCCGACAGGCUUAUUGAAUUCCCCCUUCUUUGUGUCGGGUUGUGUUGUGUGGAUAAGCACCAUUCAUAAAUGCAGUGAUGCCCACUUAAUUUAGUUGCUUGUCAAAUUCUUUCGCCAAUUUGAUUCCAAAUUUUGCCCAUUUAAUGGUUAUAUUCAUAUUAUGCUUUUGAUAAUAAUGGUUCGAAUUUUAUAAUUUUACGGUGUGGCAUUAUGAUUUUCAAUAAGAAAAUGAACGGCGAGAAAGAUACAAUUUGGUAAGAAUAUCAGUCUCCUAUUUGAUAAAACUUAAAAUUCCAAUCCAUAUUAAUGUGAAUGAUUUUUUUUUUUAUUUUCAAUCUAUCAACUUAAGCUUUCUUGAUGGUAUUAAUGACCUCUCAUUAUAUGAUUAUAGGUUUAAUCCUACAAUUUGGUACCCCCCACUAAUUUGGUGAAAUGAUUCUAAAAGAAUUUAGUCCUCAUGUUCAAAAAUGUCCCAACCAAAGAAACUCUUGGUGAUAAAUAAUUGAGAGCUUUUAACAAAGGAGGGUAACAAUCAACCCAAAUCCACCUCAAAAAAUAGCAUAAUAUUUUGGAUUCAUAAAAGUCUUAACUUAGAGCAGGAAUGUGGUUUCAACUUUUGACCGACCGUUCUUAGAGCAAGUGGCAAAGGACAUGGUGGUUGGUACUCGAGAUCCCAAGUUCGAAUCCUAGUUGAUUCAUGUUUUCAGCUAAAUUUAUUUUUAAAUAAAAUAAAAGAAGCGGGUAGUAUGCUAUCUUCCUCUUAAAAAAAAAAAAAAAAAACUUUUGCCCAAUUAGGAGCCCCACAAAAUGGACAUGAAACAACCACUUGGUGUGUGAUAGAUUUAAGUGGGAACCACCAAACAUCUUGAAAGGUUGGCCCACAAAAUAUGCUGUAACUAAAAUUGCUGCUUCUUCCAGCAUCUUCUUUAUGAUGAUAGAUUACCACAAAUCUGAAACUACCAGAAAGUCAAUGGAAGGUUACUCUCCAUACAUUACAAUAUUAGUGCUUAUCCAACAACUGUUACAAGUCACAUCACUAAACUAGUUUUCUUAUAUAUUGCAGAUGUGUUAGCAUACAUUUAUUCUAUUUUAAACCACGCGUAUAAAUUGUUCAAAAAAAUUGUAAAACAUAUUAACAAAUUAUAAAUCUAGCAACUUGUGGGAUUCUUACAUAAGCUCCAAACAAGAGGCAAGAUGCUGAAUACAAGCAAAAAAGACAUCAUUCUUUAACUAAUUUGAGCUUUUAUUUGAGUUUUUAAAGUAAUAAGUUAUUUUCACACAAUGCAUAAUAAACCACUAGAUGCUAUUGCUGAGAUCACUAUCCAACACUCAUAGUAGACAAACAAUAUAGAAUUCUCUAGAUUGAGAGAAGGUCAUUACAUAGAUAGGGAUUCCCAAUAUAUAUAACUAAUUUGAAAACAUAUAUAAACACAAUUAUUUGUUAUUAAUUUUAAUAAAAACCACAGACCAAACAAUUUCCCAUGAUAUUAGCAUCCCAUCAUCAUUACAUAGCAUCACUCCAUUGAAAUCAAUGAUAGAAUAUAACUCCUAUCAAUUAUUGAAUAGCAAACCCUAGAACAGUACAUCUAACUAACCUGCCUUGUUAGUGCAUCAUGUGCAAUGCUGGGAGAUGUUCACAUUUUAUAUAUAUAUAUAUUUAUUUAUUUUAGUGUGACAGUUAAAACAUAGACCUGUAAUCAAAGCAUCAUGUGCAUUUCUGAGAGAUCACAGUUAUUAUAUUACCUAGGAAUUGUAUGAAUAUGCUUAUAUUAAAACAAUAAUAACUCACCAAAAAUCAUGUGGAUCACCUUACCCUCAGUCAAACAUUCAAAACAUAGACCACAUUCCAAAGGAGACAAGAUUCAAUGAAGCAUCUGAACAUGGCUCUAAAUCAUGUAGAGUAGAAGAAAAAUAUUAAAAAAAAAAAAAGGCAAGAGCCAAAUAUAAUUAAAAAGAAAAGAACCCAAGAGAGAGGAUUUGACAUCUUUGAUAAGAUUAAUAGAAGUACUAACUAAUUAAUCUUUGAUACUUAAUCAUAAUUUAUAGGCAUCAAAGAUCCACACAUACACAUAGUUUUGCAAAUAUAACCUCAAUCUCAAACCAUCUUUUAUCUUCUUCUCUUUUUGCCCCUCUUUUAUGACUCAUCUCAAGCCAUGCACGCAUGAUGAUCAGGAAAAACAGGAGAAAUUGGUGAAUUAAAAUACAAACAAGGCUAAUGCUUUCUAGGCUUAGAAGGCUUUUCAUUGCUGGGUUUUCUGAAUAUGCUACAGAGAAUGCACCCAGAUACCUUUGGAGACGGCGGGUCGACAGCAGGCGGAAUAUCUGCAGUGCGAAAAGCUGCCGGUUGUUUCCCGUCUUUCUUGCCGCCGCCCCUCUCCCUGGCAGCAGGACAAGCAGUCUUCGCUCCAUCUUCACGGCUGCGGUCCAGCAUGGCAAUGGACCCAACACUUCUGGAGUGCCUCAGCUCCCUGAAUUCUGGUUUUUCUUUCUCCCCAUCCUCCUUUUCAUUACUUUGAUUUGGGUCCCCAGAGAGGAACUUCUCAUCCCAAACUAGCCCUGAUGAGCCUGAUCUUCUGAAGGUUUGUGCAGAUCUCUGUAGCCCAGCCAUGUCUCUCUCUCUCUCUCUCUCUCUCUCUAGAGUUUUAUGAGACAAAAGAGAGAAUAUAAGAAGAGUAUAGCACUUGGAUUAGUCUUGUGACAUAUAAAAAGGAUAGGAAAGGGAUGGGAAAUAUAUAGAGGAGAGGAGAGAACAGUCAAGAGAUGGGUUAUAUGGGAGUUAUGAAAGAGGAGAGAGAAAGAGAUGGGUGGCUCAUAAUACAAUAUAUAAUUAGGAUAAUUAAUACAUCAAUUUGUAAUUAAAUUUAUAGUGUGACUAAGUUUGUUUUGUCCCUUUAUGCAGGUUAUACUUAUUAGAUUGCUUUUAAACGUAAAUAACAAUGUUGUUAAGACUAAAUAAUUGACUAAAUAUUAGCUCAAACAUUUGACCAAUCAAGAUAGUAUAAAUCAGAAAUAAUCAGCGAAAUGCUAAGUUGAAAUUUUAAGCCUCAAAAGUAUGAGAUUCAAUUUUGCAGUACUCAUUGUUUGUAGGAAAAACCUGCUAGGAAUAUUAUUAGCAUACAAUUCUUAAUUUAAAAGAGUAUUUAAAAGUACUUCAUCAAAAAGCACUUAGAACCUAUAGCAAAAGGUGACAGGCCUUUAAGCAGCGGGAAACUAUUUUCUACAUGUGUUCAUAACUUCUAUCAUUUCACCAUGGUGCAAUAUUAUGCAGCCGCAUUUAAAUUAAAAAAUCAUUAAUAAACAAUAAAAAGAUGGUCCACGGAGACUAAAGUUGAGUAACUAAUAAGACAUCAAUUAAUAGUAAUAAGUUUACGCAACCACUUUGACUUCGACCAUAUGAAGUUGCAAUCACAAAAAGAAAAACCAUGCAACAAGAAGCAUAUUCAAACAGCAGAAAUUCAAAUCCUGUUCUAUGGUUUAGUUUCCAAUACUAUGCAAUCGACUGAAAUUUAAACAGAAUUGUCAAAAUUUAUAUAGAAUCAUCUCUGUGACUACAUAAUUAAAAUCAAGUCCAGCUCUAAACGUUGAGAUAGAUAUGGUUUAGUUUCCAAUACUAUGCAAUCGACUGAAAUUUAAACAGAAUUGUCAAAAUUUAUAUAGAAUCAUCUCUGUGACUACAUAAUUAAAAUCAAGUCCAGUUCUAAACGUUGAGAUAGACGAUUUUGGUUGAACACUUCGACAGCGAUGGCUAAAUUUAACACCAGCAAAUUAUCACAAACAAAAUUUUUACCCUGUAAUUUGCAUUAAUAGCCAAUGCCAAGCUCAGAUAACUUGGUAAAAAGAUCCUUGACUAGACAACUAUACAUCAAAUUAAGGGUACAUUACAAAAUUAAGGAAAGCAUGGAAAUUCCCCAAUACAAACCAUUUUAUUCUUCAAGCAAAAAUUUCUUGAUAUAAACUAAUGAUACAAACGUGAAAAAUACAAAGAUCUCAAAUUCAUAGAGUUAGGCACAUCAAUUAUUUACCAGUUUGAGAAUCUAUACCUCCCCAGUAACAAAAAAUAGAAAAAAAAAAAAGAAAAAAAAAAAGAAAGAAAAGGGAAAAGAAACAGCGGCUAUAGAUGCAACAUGAAAUCACUUAGAUCAAUUCAUUCCGACAAGAACCAUAUCGAUCUGUUGACGUGCGAACAUAUUCAUAAAUUGGAGACCGAAUUCACCUUUUUUGGCAGAAUCUCGUGGUAACCUGGAUCGCCCUCAUGAACCCAUGUAGAGAUAAGAUGGUGGGCGAUGGCAAAAGGCCCAGGAAUAAACAUCUGGGCGAGCUCACCGCUCUCCACAUUGAAGUCCGAGGAAGGAAAGUUUUGACCUUUCUCAACACCUUUGCACAUCUGAUUGACCUUAAAGGCGGCAGUUCUCUGCGCUUUCUCAUAUUCUGCGAAUGUCAGUGCUUUCUUCACAUCCUCUCUACUGUGCCAUUCGGCAUCUGAAAAUUAGAGGAAUGAAUUGUUUAAGAGGAUGAGCUGAUGCAGAACUUACUCCAAUAUAUUUGAAGGGUGUUUAUCAAUAUGGACCAAUGUAAAAUUAGAAACAUGAAUAAGAAGACAUGGAACAUAUGCUAGUAUCAUUUUAUAAUACCAUAUUAAGAAAAGUUAAAAAUUUCAAACAACCAUAUUUUAUUUUAUUAAACAAAUAAAUCAGACAAAUCAAUAAUGCAUUACUUAUGAUUAUUAGUUAAAAAGUACCUUCCAGCUCCUCCUUGUCCACACGAAUUUCAAAUGAUGUAGCAUAUGCAAAGAAGCCCACCAUCAACUGGCAUGGCAUACUGUUUGGCCCCACUGAAAAUAAUCAUAUAUCAAACAUCAAUCACCAUGAUGCAAUUCUUAUUGUUUUCUAAAUCGAUAAUUAGAUGAACACAUAAAUAGCCAGUAGGUAGCCAGUAAGGCAUAUAUUUAGCCCAUUCAGCAUUUAGUUGGUAUCAGGUUAACUUGGGCUGCAAAAUAAUUUGUAAAUGAUCCCACAUAUAAUUGAUCACUGUUAGCAACUCACAAGAACAAACUGAAUCCAAAGAAAUGGUGCAACUAUAGAAAACAUACAUCACAUUUCCAACAUAAAUAAAAUGAAAUCAUUAAGCCUAAGUUGAUACCAGGCCAUGGCUGCGAACUAUGAUAUACAACUUCGCCAACUUCGAUACCAGUCUCUUCCCACGUUUCUCUUCUCACUGCCUCUUCUAAGCUUUCCCCUGGCUAAGAACAGAGAUUUUCAGUCAAUAAAAUCUUCAUGAAAUGCUGUACAAAUCGAAAUAACGAUUUUUCAGACAUCAACUAGUCCUUUUGUCAGAAAAAACUUCUUUGGGCCAGAUCAAGCAAUUUUCAACUUGCAAAAUGUACCGUCCAACAGCAUUAUAUUGUUUAAUAACAGUCACAAAGCGCAAUUUAGUAUAGCUUUUAAGAACAGACAUGUUCUUUCAUGUAUUAAACCACAGGUCACGUAUUCCUUAGAUCGUACGUAAAUCUUAAUGCAAAACUUUUCACAAAGAAAUAUUGGAAUUUGCUUCUAAAUGUUUGCCUCCACGAGAACUAAAAGAUUGAAACAACAUUUAGACUAGCAUAACGGGGUCAGAAUCUUGUGCAAUAAAAGAGGUGUAAUUUAGUAAAAUAAGAAUAUUUAGUGAAGUUCAGCAGGAGAAUUCCAGUACCUCGAUGAAACCAGCAAGGCAACUCCACAUACGUGGUACAAAUCUUGAUUGGCGGCUCAAAAGUGCACGAUCAUUUGCUUUAUCAAUAACCAACAUAAUCACAACCUGUUAAACAUCAAAAGACACAUUUAGUUAUUAAAGUGACCAAAUCCCUCAGUUCCAUGAAGCACAACAAUAUAGAGCAAACAUUUCAAUUUUAGUUCCUAGUUCCACCGAGAUUCAAGUCUACAUAUUGCAACUCAUAAUUUAAGCAGGGAUAAAACAUACAGGAUCAACUCGAGGGUAUACUCUCUUCUUGCAGGUCUCAUCUGUGCAUUGCUUCCGUCUCCCUGCACCAAUAGGAACUGUCCUGGAUCCGCAGUUUCCACAGAACCGCGAAAUACGGUGCCAUUCUAGUAAUGCCCUGGCCUGUUCAAAGGCAAAUCAAUCAGAUAAAAUCUCUAUUUUGCAUUACUGAAUAAAGCAUAGACAAAGAACAGUUUAGUCCAAACUUGCUGUUUCAUAGAUGGUACUUGGAAUAACAAAAAUAAGAAAUUAAUGGACUCAAAUAUACAGCCACAAAAUAAAACAUGCACAUGUGAUCAAUAAUAUAAUGAAGAAGAAGAAGAAGAAGAAGAAGAAGAGCACAUACAUGGCCAGCAAUGGCUAACUCCCCCAUGGUGCCGAUGUCGGCCCAAUCAGUGGCGACCAUCAGAGUUCUCAGCUCGACGAAGCACAAUCCAUCCCUCUCCCCACCCAAUUCGACACCCCGCGAUUCAGAAACAUCAAUAGCCCAAUAAACCGCGUCCUCCUCCUCUCCCGACCCCGAACCUGAACCGGACCCCAAAUACACGAACGAAUCGGCAGAGAAACCCUUGAAUUCGGACGGCGAAACCCACCCGAGGUGCCACUUCGGCGCCGAAUCCGGAGCCGAAUCCACCGAUCGCGCCAAAGGCCGGCCCUUUCUGAAGGGUAGCACCUUGAGAUUGAGACCAGGGGAAGGGGCCUCACACUCCUCUCCGGCGACGAGGAGGGAUCUGAGGGCGUCCAGGGCGGCGCCGCCGUCGCCGCCGCCGCCGUCGGGUUUGGCGUGGAGAGUCUUUAGAGGGUUUCCGGCAAAGGCAUGGGCGUGGAGAUGGAUGGACAUGGUGGUGAGAACGGAGAUAGGGUUUCCUCCUCUUCUUCAAACCUGUGUUAGAGUUAGUGUUGGGGUUAGGGUUAGGGUUAGGGUUAGGGUUUAGCCGCCAUUGUCGACGCCGUAGCGUGUGGGAUUUGGGAGGGAGACGAAGAAGAGAGAGAGAGAGAGAGAGAGAGAGAGAGAGGAUACGAAGAGUGGGUGAAGUGAAGGCGCUCAGAGUGUGCCACGUUGGUCUGUUUGGGGGAAAUUGCAACGUAGUCCUUAAUUCAUGGUAUUAUAAUUAAUUAGUAUCUAAAUUGUCACGUAACUACAUCAGCAUUUCAAUUGUGUUUCGAUAGAAAUGCAAGAAGAUCCUUUAAAUAUUAUCUUUUCUUGACAUUUUUAUAAAUGUCUAGUUAUUUUGAUUUUAAUUAGCUUAAUUAAUCAAAUUAUAAAUUUUAAUAUAAUUAAUAAAAGAAAAGAUAUAACCCGAAACGCCCCAAAGAGAAACACCAUUUAACAAAUAAAUUUUAGAAUAAUCCUGAGUAUGAUUCACGGAUCGCAAAAUAAAAUUUGUUCUGAUCAAAUCCAACCCGAUUCAUUACAAAUCAAAAUCGAGUCAAAUAAUUUUUGCUUAGAUCUAUUCGGUAGUACUUUGUAAAAACCAAAAUAAUUAAUGUACUAAAAACUUGUUUGGCCUAGCAGCAGCACUUGUCUUAAAAUGUAAAAUUAUAUGAUUGCGUGUGAAACCACAUGCACAAUUAUACAUUUCAAAAGAGCCACUACAAUUAUGCGCCAAAAAAGUCUUGGACAAUACAGCAGCUAAACAUCUACUAAAUCUUUUAUUAAAUCAAGAGAUACACAUAAAAUAUUUUUUGUGACCACUGUUUUUGCUCUUUUUUAAGCAAAAUUUACGUGUCUGAUCAAAAAUCAAGCAACUAAUAUGUGCAUGGUAUUAGUGAAAGGUCUAGAAAACAUAAUAAAGGGAAAAAAUUUAUAAAAAAGAACUAGGGAAUAGGCAAAAUUAGUCAUUUAUUGCUUCGUAUAUGACUGCUAUUACAUAUUUAUCAUAUCACGUGUACCAUAUACGAGAAUAUUAUGUCAUCACAUCUCCCUCGUGGCCAUUCUCAUCUCUUGUGGCCCAAAUCACUUUCAGGUUUCUUUACCUGCCACUGAAAAAAAAUUUCUCAACUAAUUAAGACAAAAAAAAAUAAUAAUAAUAAGAGAAAUUUGAAAAAAUUUUAAGUUUCUUUCAAAUCAAAUUCCAAUAAGAAAACAACAUUUACCAGGUUCGCGAGGUGCAUUGCAUCCGAAGCACUCCGUCCUGCUAGCGAAGUUGUGUUUGUUGCAACCCGGCCUGCGAAAACACAGAGACGGAUUAGUGACACUAAUAAGUGGAUCAUAUCGCGUCGAUCACUACAGAAUUGUUUAGUGGCACAUUCUUUUAGAAAAUUUUAGUUAGCUCAUAGUGUUAACAACCUAAAAAAUUGCUUGUAAUUAGUUACCUUAACAUAUGCACUGUGAGACUACUACACCUCAAAAAACAAAAUAAAAAUAAAACAACGAGGAAAAUAUAUAUAUAUAUAUAUAUAUAUAUAGAGAGAGAGAGAGAGAGAGAGAGAGAGAGAGAGAGAGAGAGAGGCUGGAAUACUAUUGAUAGGAAAAGACACUUUUUGCUAGCAACUUUUUAAUUCUUGGAUGAGAAAUUGUAGGAUUAGGAUAAUAUUAGUCCCUUAGGGUUGAGUAAUUUUCACUGGGUUAUAAUAUUUAAUCUAAUAAUUAGAAACGAUGAAAGAAAUUAAUUUAAAAACUAAAAACUUGAUAGCAAAAAAAUUUUUUUACUAUCAAUAAUAUUCUAACCCAACUCUCUCUCUCUCUCUCUCUCUAUAGAGACAGAGAGAGAGAGAGAGAGAGUCCGGCUAUAGUACUUGUAAAAGCACAAAGCACUUAGUGCUUAUAAAUUUUUUACCGUCAGAUAUACGUCUUUCAUCAUUUUUACCCGUUAGAUUAUACUAUUCAACCAACCACCCACUCAAUCCUAGGGGGCCCACAUCAUCCUAACCGCACAUCUCUUAAUUUAAGGGUCGAAAACUUACAAAUACCAAUGACUUGAUUUUUUAAAAGUAUAGAGGUUCGAUUAUAUAUAUAUAUAUAUAUAUAUAUAUAUAUAUAUAUAUAUAGAGUGAGGUUACUAUGCUAUCGGAAGCACGGAGCCUUCCGUGCUUCCAACUCGUUUUCGAUGUUGCGACUUUCGAAUCGUCGAUCGGCUCCGUUAAACUUGAUCUAGAGUAUUUGAAGUACCUAGAAAAUAAAUUUUAUGAUUUUACGAUAUCAUUUGCCUAGUGAACGAAGGGGCUCAAAAUCAACGGCUGAAAAUAAAAAUCUUACAAAAUGUAAUAAUAUGACAUUAAAAUUUUAAAUCAAAGAUAUUGAUCUUGUUUUAUAUAGUAUAAAGAAUUUUCUAUCAAAAUUUCACGUGAUUUGGAUAUUUCUACACCGUUAAACUUGCAAACGGCUCACUACGGCCAUUGAAAUUUGUUGAUUUUGAGCCCAUUCGAUCACUAGGCAAAUGAUAUCGAAAAAUAAUAAAAUUUAUUUUCUAGGUACUCCAAAUACUCUAGAUCAAGUUUAACGGAGCCGAUCGACGAUUCGAAAGUCGCAACAUCGAAAACGAGCUGGAAGCACGGAAGGCUCCGUGCUUCCGAUAGCAUAGUAGCCUCACUCUAUAUAUAUAUAUAUAUAUAUAUAUAUAUAUAUAUAUAUAUAUAUAUAUAUAUAUAUGUAUGUAUAUAUAUAUAUAUAUGUGAGAAGUUCAUUCCAAGUGUUUGGUAACGGAGGCUUUGUACGUAUCAGAUUUUAAAAACCAAAGCAUGUAUAUAAUCCAAUUAGACUGAUUGGAACUGUUGCAGUGUACUAAAAAUUCAAUAAUUAAUGUUCGAGUUCUUAAGUUUAAAAUUUAAUUAUUUCACAUUUGUAAUUAAGUUUAUUUCUAAUAAAAACAAUGAAGAUAAUUUGCCACCUUCCUCUUUUUUAAAAAAAAAAAAAAAAACCUAAUUAAUUAGCUGUAUCUUUGGAUAAGCAAGUUUGCUUCUUUGUUUGUUUGUUCCUCCUCCAAUAUUCCCCCAUCGUCCACUCUCCUUAACUUUGUUUUUUUGCGAGGAAAGAAGGAUAAAAGGGGUGCAAACUUUGAUGUUGCGUUUUGAUCUGGUGCACUGCACCUUUUCGUUCAUCAAAAUUAUCUUAUACUUUAUUUCCCAUCAUUUAUAGAGUUAUAAAUAGUACAAUAAGAUAUUAUCAACAUUUAUGAACUGAUCGUUCCAUUGAUCGCUUACUUUCAACUAACCAUCUAUACAUCUCAUUGAAAGAAAGAAAAAAAAAGGUUGAAACUUCGUGAAAGGAAAAUAAUAAUAAUAAUAAUAAUAAUAAUAAUCACGGUGCACAUAAUAUCUAUACUUCUAUACUAAUAUAUGAAUCCCCAAUAUCUUGCUGACAUGGUGUUAGCUCCUUCUUUCAAAACUGCUCUCUUUCAUCUCCCAACCUCCAAAACCCUUCAUCUUCAAAACCGUUCCCUCCUUAUCUCCCAAUAAAAUCACAAUUGGAUGCAUAUAAUUGCACCAAAACUAUUCCCUCUCAUCUCCCAACCUCCAAAAUCCCUCAUCUUCCAAAACCGUUACCUCCUUAUCUCCCAAUAAAAUCACAAUUGAAUGCAUGUACUUCAACAAAAUUUUGUAGAAUUAUUGACCUUCCACCUGUUGAAUUGAGAGCGCAAUAGAAUAAAAGGUUCGAUUUCUUAUAGCUCUACUUCUAGCAAUAGUUUCUUUUUUCGUUUUUCACAUUUAAUUUGUUGUUCGCUUGGAGGUUAGGAAAGCAUUUUUGGGUGUUUUUUUUGUAUUUUUGGCAUAUAUUAUGUUUUUUUUAAUUCGUUCUAACUUCUUGAAAAGUUUCCUUUUGUUUCAGAGAGAUGAUUAUUUUUUGUCUUGAAUGUUUAGAAUAUUUUUUCAAUAUUAUUAUGGGAAUUUUUUCUCCUCAAGGGGCUUUUUAUUGUUGGUUUUAUUGUUGAUUUCUAUAUUUUUCCUCUUAAAUACAAACCGACACUAAUGUGACACUGAUAAUAUUAGAUUAUUAUCACAGUGUAUUAUACAAUAAUUAAAAAAUCGCAUCGAUGUCGCGCAUGAUAUAUAUAUAUAUAUAUAUAUAAUGCUCGGGUUACUUCAUUAUUGAUUUUUUAAAAAAAUUUGAUUUGCGUCAAAAAAAGAAUCAGACGGAUGAAUCUGCUUAUUUGAUUUGUUAAAUGUCAAUUAAAAUCUUUUCAGUGUGCUCUUUAAUAUUUAUUAUCUUUCACUUGCAAUAUUUCAAACAUUUUUUUUUAUAAUAUCUAUGUAAUAAUUUUUCUUCUCAUAUAAUUCUUACUUUUUUUUCGGUUUCUUUUAUUAUUUUUUGUUGAGUUGUGAUUCCAUUUUAAAUAUUUUUUAAUGUGUUUUUUAUAUUAUUAAGUCUAAUCAAAUAUAGUUAUAUUUUUUUUCUUCUUUACAUUCAUAUUUAUUUAUUUAAUUUGUAAAUUUUUAUUAAAAUUUUUUUUUUUGCUGCAUCGCGCGGGACACUACACUAGUAUAAUAAGGAUCUUGAAAAGAACUAUACGGUGCAUAUAUAUAUAUACUAUACCUAGUGCAAAUCCAGUCGCCGAACUUCCACCCGGCGCGCGCACGAGUGCGCGGUGCGUAGCCGCCGCCGCUGCCGAAUCCGAAGGAGGAGUUGGCACCGCUGGCUGCCGGGGGCCGCUGCUCGUGGCAGCGCUGGCAGGAGUCGCGGCGGCUGAAGUUGAGGUGAUUGCACGACAUGCAGUUCCAGUCUCCUGGCUUCCUAUUCAUCUUCUCGGCCGAGCCCUGCAUGUACAUAUAGUCGCAUAUAACCAAGCUAAGCCACCAGAUAGUCGCAUAUCUGAAAAACUGACUUAUCAACUGCACUUUUUAAUAUACGGAGAAAGAGAGAGAGAGAGAGAAGUGUAUACUUUAAGAUGAGGAAGAGGAGUGAGGGGAGAGAUUGUUUGGGGGAGCUAAUUAAGUUGUGGGUUUGUAUGAUUGAGAAGGUUGAGGAGGGGGGGCUUUUAUAGUGGUGCCUCAAUAAUAGAGAAUCAAGAAUGGGAUGUGGAGGGCCGGGGCUGUUCUCCCUUUUUCUUUUUCUUUUUUUUUCUUUUUUUAGUCCCCCUUUUGUAACUGUCACACCUUGAGCAUUAGUGGAAUCUCAUAAAAAACUUUUCUUUAAAAAAAAAGGAAAAAAAAAAAGAGAAAGGGCAUUGAGGGGGGAUGCUAAAGAUGGCUAAAUAAUUAUGGGGAAUUUGAAUAUAUUUGGCUUCCAUAGUACAUCUUUUUCUAGAGAUGGAUGGGAGAGAAAAUAUAUUUGUUUCUAUUUUCAGUUCUCGAUCGCAUCUAAGUUCGAACUUAAAUUGGAAGCUCCGCAUCCUCACUUAUAGAUAUGUAUGAUUUUCAACCUAUAUAUAUAUAUAUAUAUAUAUAUAUAGAGAGAGAGAGAGAGAGAGAGAGAGAGAGAGAGAGGACUACUAUACUCUUAUAACUAUAGAACCCUUCAUAGUACUCGUAAGUCGUUUUUGAUGACAGAGUUUCCGAAUCGACGAUCUAUACCGUUAAAUAUAAUUUAAAAUAUUUAAAACUUCUUAAAAAUAAAUUUUGUUAUUUUUUUAAAUCAUAAUAAAAUCUAUCAAGCAGGUAUAAAAUAAACGGUCAAAAUCGAACGACAUUCUAAAAAUAGAUGAUUGGAUCCUUCAAUUUAAGAUCGGAGUUAUUGAUCUUUUAUAUCUAGAUAGUGAAUACAUUUUUUUUUAUCAAAAAUUUAAUUUAUUCCGAUUCUUUUACACCGUUAAACUAGCAAGUAUUUCAUACCGGCCGUUAAAAAUUGUAAAUUUUGUGACAUUUUGAUUAUAACGUAAAUGAUGUCGAAAACGUAAAUAAUGUCGAAAAAUUAUAAAAUUUGAUUUCUAGAAAUUUUAAAUGCUCUAGAUAAUAUUUAACGGUAUAGAUUGUCGAUUCAGAAGCUCUAUCAUAAAAAAUGACUUACGAGUACGAAAGCGAUCGUACUUAUUAGAAUAUAUAGUAGUCGGAUUCUCUCUCUCUCUCUCUCUCUCUAUAUAUAUAUAUAUAUAUCUUUAUCUUUGUUGAAGACAUUAAAAUCUCAUUAUGUCAUAUUAUUGCUAAGCCUAGCUAAUUCUAAAUUAUUUUCAUAAAAUUAAUUUUUUAAAUAACAUGGUACAUAUCAAAAGCAACGCCACUAGGUGGAUUGUUAAUUAAGAUUUAUUCUGAGUUAUUUUCUAGGAGAUCAAUCUUUUCAAUAUAUAAUAUAGUUCUACGUAAAAUCUGAGUUUGAGAGGGCUACAGAAUAUUGUCAACAAUUGUUAAUUAUCUCGGGAUUCAUAUAUUUGUGUGCUUAGUUGGUGUUGAGUAGGGAUGCAAAUGGAUCCGGGUUGGUGGAGCUCUGUCCCGAAUGGCGUGGUAAGUGGGAGCAAAAAAUAUAAAAAAAAUAUAACCCGCCCCGAAUCCGCCCCAAUCCGCCAAGUAAAUGGAGCGGGAGGUGGGAGACUCUUUUCUUCCUUCAAUCCGCCCCGAUCCGUCAAAAAUCCGGCUCCCGCCCCGAUCCGCCCCGAAUGGAGCGGUAAGUGGGAGCCAAAAAUAAAAUGAAAAGUAACCCGCCUCAAAUCCGUCCCGCCGCGAUAAGAAAUGGAGCAGAGGUGGGGAAACUCUCCCGCCCCCAGAUCCGCCCCGUUUGCAUCCCUAGUGUUGAGUUCUUUAAGUAGCUAAACAUGUAUGUGUGUGACAAUUAAGUACUCUCAUGAGUUAUGACUAAUAUUAUAUAUAUCCUAGCCUAAAUGGAUAUCACCAAUUAGGACCACCACCUCUUUUUACCUCAAUUGAUCAUCUCAUUUACACUAUGCGCCUUAUAUACCUAAAUGAGUACUGUACCUGUACAUGAAAUUUGUCGUACUUACGUGGAAAGCCUCUCAACAGUGAGACAGUUUAAUCGGUCGUCCAUCACAUGCACUGCUCAAAUCUUUACGUAAUAAUAAUAUGGAUUAUAAAUUAUAUGCGUUUGCGAAUAUAUCUACCUCCAAUCGGCAAGUAAAAAUGUGACAUGAUCUAAGUUAAAAAGAUGCUGGUUAAUGCUUGGACAUUAAUGGUGUAUUAUUGGUGUAAACAAUGCAAUCGCGCAAUUAAAAAGAAUCAAUUCCCAAUUAUAUAGGGGGAGGGGGGGGGGCAUAAAAAGCCUAUUCUGAUCUCUUAUUCGUUAUCUAACUUGUCCUUCUCUUUAGCAAUAAUUCAUAAAGGUCAUAGAUUCACAGCUACAAUUAAUUAAUUCGUACGUUCCCUUAGCAUCUCCCACAAAGUCUCACGGCUUUUUCAAUUUUCACUAAAAUUCUUGCUAAUUAAUUAAAGUUGUAAAAAUAUUUAAUUUGCCAGCUUAAUUAAUAUUUAUACGACCGUUAAAUUACCUGCAGCAUUAUCAUACCACAAAUACACCGUUUCAUAAUUAAAAUUCUUCGAUGUAUGUAAGUAUGUUAAUAAAGUGUUAUAAAAUAUAUAUGUUGAGUGUACAAUAUUAUUUCCUUUUUUGGUCAUAUAUAUUUAUAUAAAUUAGUGGACAUUUUCAUUGUGUUAUUCAACUUCUAAUUCAAGUAUGAAUUAACAAACAACUUACUUUAUACAUAUAUAUUUUCGAUCACACUUAAUUUCUACAUGCAUUCCUAUUAUAGAGAAUUCGAACCUCUGACUUAUCUUUUGUGGCAGGCACAGAAUAAGUUUUUGGAGCAUAAUGGAGUCCGCGUGUACGUGACACGGGAAUGGUUCUUUAAUUUUGACCUAGGAUUUCUUAGAUAAGAAGGAAUUAACAAGUAGAAUAUCACAGACCAAGUAAAUAUUCGUCACGCUACUUAAGAUUUUUUUUUUUUUUUCAUAUAUAGUUUUGUAUAAGAUCGAUCUUUUCAACAACAUAAUUAUUAAGUCAUGCACUAUGAAGCUCCAGGUUUCGACCUAAAUUAGCUAGCGAUCUAAUUUAGAACGAGAUCAGGUGCAUCUCGAAAAAGAUGUGGAUGCUUUAAUUAUAUAUAUGUUAACAUAAAUCACACGAAUAUUGUGUUGAUGGAGAAGAAACUAAAAGAGAUAAUAAAGGAAUAUAAACAAAUUGAUAAAUGAAUGAAUAAUAAAGAAGAGAAGAUCGAGAAUAAAACCUGCAGGUGUAUCGUUUCAUUUUGGAGAAUGCAGAGGGAUACAAAAUUGAUAAUGAUUUUAUUUGGAAAUCUAAUUAUCCAAUAAAAUGGGUUUGGUGAGAUGAUGACAUUCUAAAAUCUUAUCUAUAAUAAUUCCAAAAGAUCAUUUUCACAUUAACUUGAAAAAAAAACCCUAAUUAUUGCCAACACUUGCGUGCAUCGGAACAUCUUGUGCACCACACUACUCUAUCAGCCGUCCUUCCCAUCAGAUAGGUACUUGCGAUCCAACCGUGCAACUUUUUAACAGAUAAUAUAGUGCAAAUAUUGAAUAUAUGAUAAGGAUCGAUACAUGUAAUGGGAUGGAGAGCAGAUGAACCGUGAUGAUGCAUCAGGUGCAGUUUCUACUACUAGCGGGCCAUGGUUGAUUGCCCAAUUGGGUAUAUGUGUAUCAACGUGCGAGCAUCCGUACAAAUUAUACAUCACAUCUUCUUAUCUGUGGAUCAUAUGUCGUGUAUGCUUUGAUCGACAUCAUGAAUUAAGCCAUUAAUUGCAAACUUGUAACUUCGAUCUUGAGGUAGAAACAAGCUAUACUAAAUAGAUGAUAGAAAUUAUACGAAGUGUGAUAUGUAUUGAGUGAGUGAGAGGAUCGUGUGAGCAUUUGGUAAUCAAUAUAUAAUUCAUGAGUCCAACAACUAGAUUUUUAAAUAUUAUUCUUAUAUAUUGUUGAUUUGUUGGCGCGCAUGAAUAUCCUGCAUUGGAUGAUAUGUAAGAAAUUAUAAGAUGGAAUAAAAGGUUGGCGAAUGAAUGUGCGGUGGUGGGUAGUGGCUGCACUUGGCGCGGCAUGAUUUUUACCAAAUAGUAGAGUCGGCACCGGCUUUAACUUCAUUGACGAGAAUACGAAAAAAAAUAGGCCAAAAGAUGGUGUUUUGCGCAGAAUACAGCUUACUGAUCCAAUACGGCAUAAUAUAUUGUUCCAACGCCGACUUUGACUGUAAGAGGAUCUUAACAAGCAAAUGCGGUGUUUCAUUGCCGACUUCAAGCAAUAUAACCAAAACGCAAAAAAUGAAAAGAAGAAAUUCUAAGAAGCAGUUUUUAGAUAAAUUGAAGUCAUUUUUGUAAAACAAUAGUUGUACUCUAAAGCUUGAAUGAUUUUAUUCUUUUUGUAAACAGUAUGAUUUAGACCUGAUCAUACAAGGCCACCAAAAGCUUGGAUGAUUUUAUUCUUUUCAUGGUCCAUAAUAGUGUGUAUAUGUCUUUGGCCAUGAUACUCUUUGUUAGCAAAAGAAAGUAAUCAAUAAAGAAAAAGGUUAAGUUAAUAUAUCUAUCAUUGGACUUGUAAUCCUAAUGCAUCUCCUGCUUUGAUUCCACCUAUAUUUGCAUGACAUAUAUAUAUUUUAACCUAAAAUAUACUGUAAAACAAAUGCUUGAAUAUGUGAACCAAUAGGAUAUGUUGAAGGGGAAAUUAAAAUUAAUUAAACCCAUGCCAAUACCAAGAAGGAGACAUGUUUGUGUGCCCCUCUGAAAUUUCCAGCUCAUGUAAUGAUCAUCUUGGUUGAUGGAUUCAUGUAGUCUCAUGAUGCCACAAUGUUUAGCAACUUGGGCUUCUUUCAUCAUCAUUCAUGGGCACUUAUUAAUGAAUUAUUCAUGAAAUUCGAGCAACCAAGUGAAGCCCAUGAUCAAGAACAAGUGAAUGCAACUUUCAAAAAAUUAAAUAAAAAAAAUAAUUAAAAAAAUAGAAAGUAAAAUGAGGUGCAAUAGAGUUUCAUCAUUUCAACUGAUUUGCACUCAUAUCUUAUGGAUUCUUCACAUGAUUCACAAAUGUUACAUCCAAAUAGUUUGCCGCAGCCCAUGAUAGGUCAUUAGCAUUUGAGCCCCAAAUCAAGUUUGGUACAUCACAUGGACAAAUCAUCUUGUCUUCAAUUAGAAUAUCUUUCUAUCUCAAGAUCAUUUCAGAAUUAAUUCUUAUCAGAUCAAUCUUUUUGAGCAACAUGAUAUUACAGACGGUCGUAACUCCUAAGCCGCUGAAUUUUGACUCUCUCUCUCUCUCUUUCUCAAGACUAUUUUUGAAUUAUUUUCCAUCACAUCAAGCCUUUUAAGUAAUAUGGUAUUACAGACAAUCGUCCUAAGCCUCCUCUGAUAUCCUAUUGUUAAAGACGGGCGUGAACACUGAUUUUAAGAGGUUUUUGAUUACAAUGACCUAGCAAACAAGCAUUGUUUUAGCGCGUGUAUGGUUCCAAAACUUCAAGGAUACGAACGGGUCCUAUAUAUCUAAACCCAAAUACAUGGCCCGCGCACUUAGACAUGAACAUAAUUGAGAUAGGAAUGAGAUGACAUGUAGCAAUGUUCAACAGUAGCUGAAAAAAGGACCUGGAAUAAAUAAUGGAACCAUGCACCAUUGCCCUUAUCAGGGGGACACUAUUCAUCCGGCAAAUCCAAUGGUCGAUAAUAAAUGCCCUAUUAAUUCCACAUUAAAUUACGUAUGCGUAAGAUGUGUCAAGCUCCUUUUUGUUCUGUUUCUAUAUAACCUAACUUUUGGCUAAUUAUAAGUUGUAGGUGGUGUGACUAGCUAGGGCCGUUACAUCUUGCUAUAAUAUUUCUUUCAAUCAAUGCCAUAUAUAUAAUUAAUAUUUAUUUUAAAGGAAUAAAAUAAUAAUUAUCGUAACUUAGAGAACUAAUAACAUGCAAUUUGUCACGUCGAUUUAAGUAAAAUAUUUAUAUAUUUUAGUAGAGAAAUUAACAAUUUGAAAAAAGAUCUAAAACUUCUACAGUAAAGUAAGAACAACUUUUCAGAAAGUUUAAAACCACUACUGUAGAAGAAAACGACCGAAAUUAUUCUAAUAUAGUUUCUCGCAAUAAUUAAUAUUACUUUGACGGCACUUCAUGGAACCACACUGCAUCCUACAUCAACAAUAUUGAUCCAAGUCCAUUAGCUGCAGGUAAUUCGCUUAACUCGACAUUUGGGGUGGCAGUAAAGUUGGUGAGGAGAGAUGAUGGGACCGACUGCGCGUGCCUCUGCAAUGCCAUUGAGAGCUCCCACUAGCUACAGUAACAACAAAGUAGAGAGAGUUUCGUCUCGUUUAUUAUUUUAAAAAAUAAAUUUAUCGAAAAUAUAAAAUAAUUAGAUUUCAAACUUAUGACUUCGAGUAUCAACCAUCAAUUUUUUUAUUAUUUUCAUUAGGAACAACGUCGUUAUAAGUUAUAACUUAGUACUUUUGUCUCUUUAUUUUACCCAUUAAAUUUUAAGUAUAUGUUCAAUAUUAAAUACUAAAAAUAUUGUUUUUUACCAGUUUAAAUUUUUAGAGUAGACGAUUACUUAACGGUGUCUGUUAAUUUGCAAGAUGAAAAGAUCAUUUCAUAUUAAAAGUUUUUUGGUUUUUUUUUAAAAAAAAACAGUGAGAAAUUAUUUGUCAUUGGUUGGGUUUGCUCUUUCUCGACCACAUCAUAUCCUUUUGAAUCAACAAACUAAUUAUGAUGCCAUCUCUGUGAACACAUUAUUGCUAUUACUACCAACAAAUUUGUUGCUAUUGUUUUUGACCAACAACUACACAAUAUAUAAAUAUAAAUAUGUUGAGAACUUAAUUAAUAGCAAAAGAGAAUUGUUGUCCACAGGGGAUGGAUUGUAGUAGCUAGUUCGCAUGUGAUGCAUAUAUAGGUGAAGUAAAAGAUGCAUUUUGGAGCUUUAAUUUGUUCAUAUAUUGUUAUCCUUUCCCAUCAGGUAAAUGAGCCUUAUAUAUCUUUUUUUCAUUUAAUCUUAUAUAUGCAUAGAAUAUAAAAUUUUUUCUACAAAAUAUAACUUCUCUUCUCUGUAUAUAGUUUCCCUUCAAGCUAUUUGAUCUAAUUUAUUUGCAUCCAUUUACACUUUGAACUUUAUAUUUUUUACACUACUUGAUAUGUAUCUAGUAAAAAAAAAAUCUCUUUUUUUUAAAAAAAAAAUCUGUGGGUCCUUUUUAUCCGACAACAUGCUUUAGACCUACCUCAUGCAUGAAUAAAUUAAAAUUUGUCUUCUUUCAAGGAUAUUUCUUUAGACUAUCAACACAAUGUUGUGAUUUAGACUUACAGAUUUGAGAUACGACCUUUUUUGCAGUCAAAAUCUGAUAAAGGAAAAAACCUUAGACUGUACGAAAAAAAAAAAAGAAAAGAAGAAGAAGAGUUAAAAAACAUGUUAUCAAACUAACAUAAAGUUAAUAGUGAAGCGACAGACACAUAUAUAUUUGAAAAUGCAACUUAUACUGCCCAUGUAGAGCAGUAUAUCUCACACAUUUUGAAUCCAAAAAAUGAUAAAAUUCUAUUAAACUUUUAGUUAAAAAUAAUAAUAAUAAUAAUAUAAUGAGAUGAGUCAGUAAAUAUAGAUCACAAAAAGUACCUACAUCAUAAAUAUACAGAUAUAUAGCAUGUAUUGAAUCAAAUCACGAUGAAUUGAUUAAGAAUGACCAAAUUUAUAGUAUAUGAUUUGUACGUAGUAAAUAUAGAUACAAAAAUGCGCAAAGAUAAUGUAACAAAGUUAAUUUUGGUCCUUAAUUCCUUUUCCUUCCCAUUAGUGGAUUAGUGAACAGCAAUCAACCAAUCCUAUACAUGCAGAUUACAUUACAUGACUCUUUGAUGAACCACUCGCAAUCAAGUUUUGCGCUUUUGCAAAAAAAUAAAAAUAAAAAUAAAAAUAAAAAUAAAAAUAAAAAUCCACCAUUUCAUAAAUUUUGUAAUUCCGAUCCACUUUUUCGUAGUCGCCAUUGCUACUUCGAGCAUAAAUCUUUUUUUAUCGACGAAGAAGCAGAAGAAAAAAUUUAAGUGGAUCGAAGCUACAAAAUAGGAAAAAAAAGAGAAAAAAACAAGCGAAUUUGUUCUUUCUUGUCAAAAAUGCCCAACAAUUGAUUAAUUAAGCUUCUCAGAUAUGUACAAAACAAGCUAGCUAGUUAGUUAAUUAAUUAAGCACUUGUUUUAGAAGUAAUCAAUGUAUUGAGGGAUGUGGUAGGGCUCAUCCCUCUCUUUCUUGGUGAGCUUUUGAACUGGAACUGGGGCUUUGCAGUUGCUUCUCCCUGAUCUCCUGAUGAUCAUAUUAUCUGAUCUGGGCACCUCAGGGGGCUUCACUGACCUGAUGAGAGCCCAGUUCACACCCUUAAAGAAACCAUGCCUCUUGAUCUCCACUGACCCCUUCAGGCUCCCAAUCCUCCUCUUUGGGUUCUUCACCAAGAGCCUGCUUAUCAGAUCCUGGGCCCUUGAUUCAUCUUCCAAAUCCUUCGCGUUCGUCGUGUUUAUCUUCGGAAAGCGGAGUGGUUGCUUCAUUAUGUUGAUCAGCGUCUUCUCGUUGUUCUCACCUGUCGAAUAUAAAAUAUUAAAACACUGUUGUCUCUUUUCUUUUCUUUUCUUUUUUAACCUUCAUUAUGUGAUCGUGUUUGUUUUUGUUUUUGAGCUAACAAAACAUUGAUAAAUGUUAAAAUCUUUAAUUAAUUAAACUCCAUGAUAGAAAUAUCAGAACAUUAUUUGUACGUGUUUUAAGUUUUUAGAGAAAAACGGUUACUACCUUUGAAGGGUGUCCUCCCGUAUAUCAUCUCGUAGAGGAAGACGCCGAGCGUCCACCAGUCGACGGCGCUGCCGUGGCCGGAGAUCACCUCCGGCGCCAGGUAUUCGUGGGUGCCGACGAACGACUUGGACCGCGCCGCCACGGGCUCCGCCACGAGCUCCGUCUCCACCACCCCAUCGUCGUCGUCGUCGUCGUCGUCGUCACCGCCACUGCCGUAUGCGUCCCCCGCCCUCGGCGGCGGCGUCCGAAGCGCUUUUUGGGCGCUGCACUUGGAAACGCCGCUGUAGAAGCAGGAGAGCACGGGCUGCAUGGGGGAGCUAACGCAGGAUGGCGCUGCUGCAGUAGUUGUUGUAGCAGUAGUAGCAGUAGUAGUAGUAGUAGUAGAAGCGCUUCUGGGGUCGACGUUCCUUUGCUUGAGGAGCUUUGGGGUGACGUGGCACUUGAGGGAGAGGUCGAAGUCGGAGAGCAUGAUGUGACCGUCGGAUCGGAUCAGGACGUUCUCCGGCUUUAGAUCUCGGUAGACCACGCCCAUCAUGUGCAGGUACUCCAACGCCAACAGCGUCUCCGCCACGUAGAAUCUGCGCUCGGUUAAUUUAUCACCUUCAUGGCGUAGAGACACGCGGCGGCGGCGCAGGGGCGGAGCUGGCACAGGUAGACGCUGCCGAGGUCGCCGGUGCCGAGGCGGCGGAGGAGGCGGAAGUGGUCGAGGCUGAGGGCGCCCGCGGCAGCGCGCGCGCGGCGGAUGGACUCCCACUCGGCCUGGCUCGCCUUGUGCGGCUUGUGCGGCGUGGCGUAGGAGGAGACGGAGGAGGCGGAGGAGGAGAGGGAGAGGUCGGUCGUCGUCGUCGUCGUGGUUGUGCUGUCGACGUAGCUGCGCCGGGAGCUCGAGCCCACUGCAGUGAAGGCGGAGGAGCGGCGGCUGCUGCUGCUCAAGCAGUCGGAGUCGGCGUCGCGGCCUCCGGCGGCCCGCCAUAAAUAAAUAUAGUAGAAAGAGCAGUAGUAGUAGUAGCAGUAGCAGCAGGAGUGAGGGAGUGGAGGUGGGGGCUUUAGUGUGCUUGGUGGGUGCUCUUAAAUAAGAAUAGCCCAGUUCAGAGUAGUGUUACUGUACAGUAUAACAAUACUAUAUACUUAUACUGUUUGAUAAACUAAAUUUUAAGUAAUUGUAUUAGUAAAUGAUUUUAGAAGUGUCGAACUCGAAUAGAAUUUUAUCAGAACUAUAUUCCUGCCGCGAUCAUCAAAUCAUAUGAUGGACGGUAUAUUUGACUAUCUCAGCACUACCGGCAUGAUCUUUAUAAAAAUUUUAUUCAGCAUGUGAGAGUUUUUAUUUUUGAAGCUGCCAAAUAUUUUACUUGACGUAAAAAAAAUAUAAAAAAAAUAUAGGCCUUUAAAACUAUAUAUGAGCUUGUGUGCUCAAUUAUUUAUUUUUUUUGAGAGAAAGGUAGAGCGCUACCUGCUUCAUUCAGAAAAUAAGUAAAUUAAGCUACAUGGGUGAGGCAAUAAGGCCUCGACGAGGGGUGAAAAAAAAAAAAAGGUUCGAUCAUUGAUCAAUCACUCCGCUAGACUAAGUUCCUCUAUAGGUCCGUCAAAUGCUUAAUCUUAUAAAUACCGGCUGUUGGGUCGGUUUGUGCCGUCCUGAAAAUCGCUCUGUUAAUAUACCGGUUGUUGUGGGCUCAAUUGUUUUUUUUGCGAGAAAGUAGCAUGCUACCGCUUCAUUCAUAAAAAAGGUGAAUUUAGCAAUUGUGGGAAGCAACUAGACUUCCACUGAACUGAACCGGAAAAAAAACAAAAGAAAAAAUUAAUUACAGAAGGAUUCCCACAUGCUGUAUUGAGCGCGUACUUCCGCCAGCACCUGCUUCGUCGACCGCUUUCUGUUGUCGAAGAUUCGCCUAUUCCAUUCUAGCCAAAGAGCUCACCAAGUAGCGACCAAGAUUGCUGACUCCUUUCUCCAUAUAGCUCCUGCUUAAAGCUGCAUUCCCUCCAUAAAUCGUCAACUGACCGACAAGCCCCUAGGCCCCGUUUGUUUGGCAGUAGGCAGGUUAGUAGCGCUUGUGAAAUAUAACAGUUUGAGAAAAAAUGGUCCACAGUCUCUUAUUCAUCCAGGCAGAGAACACAAGUGUCCACACCCGACCAGCCCCUUUUCAAAAGAUUGUCCUUCGUUAGUACCUUCCGUCUCACCACGAGCCAGCCGAAAAUUUUAACUUUUAGUGGUAUUUUUGUUCUCCAAAUGGGUGUCAAUUGUUAAUAUAGGUAUUUUUGUUGGUAUUUUUGUUCUCCAAAUAGGUUUGUUAUGGUAAAGGAAUUUUAACUACGAAAUGAUAAUGCAUGCGUACGUUGCUUAUUAACUUUUUGUUUUUUUUUUCCUUUUUUUUAUUAAAAAAAAUGACAGGUAGAAGGUCAUGUUUUUCACCUUUAGCUUCACAAUCUACUUUUUCCAUUGUGAGAUCAUCAUUAUUACGUGAGGGCUUUUGAACAUCCAAUAAAGAGAGAAUGAACAAAAUCACAUAACCCCCAACUAAAGCCCCCUCUCUCAUGUUCAAAGAGUUUUCUUCUUUUUUUUUUUUUGAUUCAACAUUUUUCGAAUGUUUAAUUAUCUAAAAGAAAUAAUUAACAAAGCUAAGUCAAAAUUAGCAUCCACUCAUGAACAACAUCUAAAUUUUGGCAUUGAACAUUGUGUUCGAUAUACAUCUAACUUAUGAAACAUUCACAGCAUGCUGAAAAUUUCUAUGACGCAUAAAUUAUCCGUCACAAACGCGAUUGGAAAACACAAAUCUGUUUAACCCAAGUUAAAUCAUACGAAGACGGGGGUAAUUUGAUUAUCGAACACGCAUACGAAUACGACCCACCAACCCAAAUCGCCACCCCUAAUUGCAAGUGUGGAUAACAAUAUUGUAGGUAGGUAAACUAAACUAACUAGAUAUAUAUAGAGGUGCUAAACUUAAUUAGUUGGUCACAUGAGUUAACAAAAGACAACAUGUUGGUGUGUGACAGUGUUAAAGGCCUUAUAAGGAGGGGGUGGGGGAGGAGAGAGAUGCAUGAGCAUGCACUACCCGUGCCACAUUAAUUAAAAGCAAAAUCCCCACCUCACCCCCACACACCAAAUGAGAUGCUUCUCUUUUUCUCUUUUCCCUCUCUCCUCCCCUCUCAUUUUCUUUGAGGUGCUUUUUACUGGGUCACAGUGGGGGACAUGUGAACCCACCUAUCUGCCACGUGGCAUCACCUCUCUUACUGGUGCUCGAAAAAGAUUUUGAAUUACGUUAGAAUAAAAAAUGGAACGACGAGUUAUUCACAAAUACUUGAAUUUAUUAUUAUGAAAUAAAAUGAAAAUCGAAAUGAAUAUUUAGAAUUUUAAUAGGGAGUUUUAGUUUUAGUUUUUUUUUUGAGAGAGAUAGAUAACACGCUACCUUCUUCGUUUAUUUCAUUUAGAAAUAAACUUAUAUUAGCUGGAAAAUAUGAAUCAAUUAGGGUCUCGAAUACCAACCAUCGAAUCAUUUGCCGGCCACUUGCUCUGAGAAUGGUUGGUAAUAAAGAGUUUUAGUUAAAAAAAAAGGAGAGUGAUGAAGGAAGAUGAGGAAAAAGUAUUUGUAACAGAGGGUUUUGAGGGGUUUAACUAGAAACAGGCUAAUCCGGGAGUCAAAAUCGGAUUGAGCCAUAAAUGUAUUAGAUCAUUCCCAUUUCAAAAUGAAAUGAGAAUGAAAAUUCGAUUUUGUAAAACGAAUAAUAAUUAUUGGAAUCAAUAAAAUUCUAUUCUAAUUUUAUGGUCUAAAAUUGAUGAACCAAAUAUGUCUUAAAUUUGUUCUUACUUUUAGCUACAAUCAUAAAUUUUUUUCUGAAAAAAAAACGUUCAAAUUAACUUACAAAACAUAGGUUCUCUAAUAUAAAACUAAAGCUUACAUAAUAAAGAAAAGUGUGAAAUUUUAACAUAAAAAUUGUUAGCAUGUUUUUCUAAUAAGACAUUUCGUGAACUCAGGAGAAAAUUGAGGGUUUGGAUGUAAUUGUAUUACAAAAGCAUCACUGACCCAUGUAGCACUUAAUAUGUAUAGUUUUAAAUUAACGGUCAAACAUUUGUACACAAGCAAAUAUUACGCUUCUACUUCUGAUAAAAAGGUCAAUUAAGUUGCUAAGCAAUAAAGCAAUAAAGCAAAAGCAACAAAUUAUUGAGAGAACUUUAGCGUCAAUAUGGGAUCUAACCAGAGUCGUAAUCUGUUAGUGGAUGAUAUGGCGGAAAAAAAUAUUAUUAUUUUAGGAGCCAAUCAUUUGACCUUUUUUUAACUAUUAGACGAAUACGGAACAUGAGUAGAGAAUGAACUUAGUUUUGCAGCUUUUAAUGCCUUGGUUUUGAGUAAGAAGUACAAGUAUCAAUUUUCUGUAAUUUUUUAUUUUAGUUUUUAUUUGUUUUUUUUGUUUUGGAUGCCUUCAAUAUUUUCCGAGACUGCAUUGCCUCAACCUCUAUAACUGAAUUCAUCCGCUAAAAUGAAUAAAACUAGUAGCGUGCUAUCUUUCUCUCUCUCAAAAAGAAAAAAAAACUUUAGCAUCAACAUAUACUACCAGCGCUUUGUCAAAUAGUUCAUUUUGCUUACGGCAACACUUUUGUAGAAGCUCCAGCCGACUCAAACAGACGGUCACGGUUCCAGAGAUGGGCCAUGAAAUAAAGCUAGUCAUACUCCCUUUCAACUACAGAAACCAUUGGUAAACAAUGUAAUGAUCUCUGCAUCUUCCUUUUCUCAUACUUUUAUGUUGGUGGAUGCUGUGAAACUCAGAAUCUGUAAUAAGGGAUCGUACAUGAUACAUGGCUCUUAAUUAAUUUCCUCUGGACCCCCUCUUCUUCUUCAGGUAUUAUUUUUUAGUCCCUGCUCUCUCUCUCUCUCUCUCUCUCUCUAGCAUCUGAGGGAUCUUAUCAUCAGCCUUUUGGGUUACAAAACAAGCAGGGCUGCAGGGCUGCAGGGCUGCAGUGGGUGAGAGAAGCAAAGCAUGUUGGGAAACCCAAACACCCAUGCCUUCAUGCAGGCUCUGCUCCCACAACAACAACCAUAAAAAGACAAAAAAAGUUUUUUGUAAUUUAGCUCUUUUUUUUGUGAGUUUUGUGGGUUUUUUAAGGAAAAAAAAAAAAAAAAAAAAAAAAAGGAAAAUGUAAAAUGAAAAUUUUCCUGUGACCACAAUAAGAAUAUAGUUGGUUUUAAUUUGUCUGUGAUAUGAAUUAUUUGUGUUGUUACUGGGUAGGCAUGCAAAAUCACCCUUUCAGUUUUACCACAAUUAAUAUGCAAUUUUAGUUUCUGUGAAAAUUUGCACUGAAGAAGUGAUACGCGUACUUAAGUUUUUGUAGAAAAAUAGCUGUUUUAUAUGAUUUCAGAUCCUACGGUGGCUACGUGCAUAGAAAGUACUAAGUAUAGAAAAUUAUACUGUAAUUCUCUAAUAACUUAAACUUUUGAAACCAUUUGGCUCUUUCAAAGAUGAGUGGAAAGAUGAAAUGAGUGUGGAUGUUUAAGUAAAAGCAACUCAAAAAUCCUAACUUUCUCACUAUCCUUGCCUUUACGGCGUUUAGCUGUAACUACAUAUAAAACUUUCAAAUUAGAACUUCUGUUUUUCAUAAAUAAUACACGGAUAUUCUAGUUUAACUUGCGUCUUUUUAUUUGCUAAACAUCUGUUACCGUUGCUUCUCGAGUAGAAAAGCUAAUCCGAAAAUCCGACAAAUAAAACAAGCAUGGAUUAAAAUAAUUGUCAAUUUUAAUGUCAUAACAGUAGCCCCACAUGUCGACAGUUCUACAAUCUUUGGAAGGACCACGAAAUAGGCCAAGAAUAAUAGAAGAAUGUUCACUGCAACAUAAUUUUGUAUAUAGAUACACACACACACCACACACACACACACACACACACACACUCAAUCCAAUAAAUAUUUUUUAAAAGAAUCCAGUACAAAAAGUUCUUGUGGUUGGCUGAAAAAGUUCAAUUCAUACAAUCAUGUCAACAUUCAGAUAAAACAAGAUAAUAAAGGAGAAUGGCUUAUUUGUACCAAUGUUUUAUUGAAUAAAAAUAAAGUAAAAUAAAAAUAUCUCAUUUUAAAAUCCUAUGGUUAUGGAGCAUGAAUAACUCUCUUAGAUGAAUGGAAAUGUAGUAAAAUUACUGACAGAUUCAGUGUGCAAAGAGAGCAGUUAUAAAACACAUAUAUGUGGGCUUAAUAUAGUACAUUUGUCACUUCACGAGAUAAAUUAUUAAGCCACAACUCAUUUAUUAAGAUACAAAACCACUUACCGCAAAGCUCCGACGCAUAAUUCUUCAAAGGAAACACGGAUUAUAUAUGAAUACAACAAACCCGAGACACUGAGCUGCUAAAUUUUCAGAAAUGAGAGUAUCGAUCGAAAAGGCGACAGCACCAGAAGAACCGAUCCAACUAUUGUAUACCCACACCAACAUCUACUAUUUAACCACAUAUUAAGCAAUUCAUUGCACCUAGCUAGGGUGAUUAUUCGAUCGCCAUUUCAUGGUGAAGCCCAAAAUUUUUAGUCGAUUGCUGAUCACGAGUUGGAUCCGUCAGUUCCCAGCAUUGCAGUAAGCCAUUUGCAGAGUUGCUCCAACUCCUGAGGGAUUGUGUGGUGUCCGAUCCUGCACGGGUUUAUUACAUAGGGGUUGAUAAUUACUUCCACGACCGGAAAAGAAACGAAGAGAAAACGUAGUUUAGCGAGGAGUUACUGUUACCAAUUAUACGAUUUGAAUGUCAGAUUUGAAAACCCAACUGAUCUCAAAAUUUCAGCAGAUCUCUCCCCAUGCUUGUAGAGCACAACAUCAUCAGCUGUAUUUAGAUAAUCAAAUAUUAUGCUAUUUGAACUUAAGAUGCUUUUCAGAAAAGUAGAGAUGUCGGUAUAAAAUCCUACUCCGGUUGCACGUCUAAUAAUAGGAGAUAUACCUCUUCCAUGGCAAAGCAAAAGCGGCACGGAGGAAGCCCGUCUCAUAGCCUCUUGAGAGCUUUCCAGCUUACUCUUCAGCAUCCUAAAACCAACGAAUUUUUCAUUACGACGCACCAAAAAUAGAGAUGUUGCAUCGAAGAGAAGAAUUUGUGCUUAGCCAUGGUAGGAUGGUACCUGGCGCAUGGAAGCCAACCGCUUAGAGCGACAACCGCACUUAGGUUAACAGGGUAUAGAUUGCCAUUUCCAUAUUUUCCGAGUGCGAAACACGUUGCAGAGUAAAGUGCAAUAGCACCGCCCAUACUGAAGCCGCCAACACCGAGUUUGACUGAAAUUUUAAUCAAAAGAAACUAUAAUUUGUUAACACGAUACCUGCAGAGAAUUUAGGGCAUUCAAAUUCCACAAAUUCAUGCAGAAAAUACCUAAUAUAUUGGAUUUCUUUUAACAAAACGGAAUGAUCAAUAUAGAGAAACUAAGUUGAUCAUGGGCCAAGAGAAGUGCUUAGCAACAUAUACAAUCAUCAGAUAAGAAAGUGAAAAAAACUCUAUUUAAAACUCGUGAUAUUUUGUGGGUCUUCGAGAAGAGAUGCAAACCUCCUAGAGAGAUCGAAUUUGGGACCAAAAGUAGUAGUAUGAACAGAUUAUGUAACUCAUAAGCCAUAAGUAAAAGUACACGAGCAAGUAGUUCUUUUUAUCUUUGUGGAAACAUACUAUCAGCAGGCUCAGUUGAUAAGAGGUUAGCAACAUGCGCAGCUGAAGCAUCCAUUCCCUCAACAUCAUUAAUGCCAUCCUCUGAAAGAUCUCCAACAUCAAACCCUAGAACACAAGGGGAAAGAAGUAGAGAAAGGGAAUUUUAAAUAUCAUUGAAACAAAGCACCGGCGUUGCAGGAUACUAUCUACAGCUUCACAUAAAGCAUUCAACUUUGGAAGUGGAUCAUCCAGCAAACUAUGAUCUAAAUGAAAGAGGUUCAUGUAAUGGUAGUGCAGCGAACUUACAUGCAUUGGUGGGGAAUCCGCCGAACACUGAUACAGGCUGUGUAGGGGAAGUUGGGCAUAUCCAUUUAAUCUGCAUAAGCAAAAUUAAGCUACAAAGGUCACACAAGAAAACAAAGGAAAAAAAAAAAAGAAGGAAAACUAGCUGAAGUUAUAGUAACAUACGUUUCUCAGAGGACCAAAAAAAAAGAAAAAAGAAAAAAAAAAAACUAGCAAAUAAUGAUCAGUAGAGUAAGCAAAUGAACAAAUCUCACUAUUAAGUUGCAAGAGUUUCAAUCUUACAUUGGGAAGAGGAAGAGUUUCCAACAGUUGAGACCAGCUGCAGAUAUAAAGCAGUGUCGACCAGGCGAAAAACAUAUCAGGUAGUAUUUUGCUAUUAACAACAUUCAAGAUUAAAGAUGAAGAAAAAGACAGCACCGAACAAUCUACAGAAAGAAAUGUAUAGCUAAAUAAUAAAUAAGACUCUGUAUCUCAUUGGAGAGUCCAAUGAAUUUUCUAUAGGUAUUUGUAUAACAUAACAGGAAAUAGUCAUCGUCAUGAAAUCUUAGCCUGACAAAGGAAAUGGUAAAGCUUAGAAUUCCUGAAAGUGAAGGAAUUAUAGUUUAUAAAAGCAGUAUUACAUUGAUUGUGUUACAAAGGAAAAUUGUCCGACGCAUAUACAACAUGGAACUUUAGAAAUCACUAUGGCUAGAGCAAGAUGAAGAAUCGAAGCCAAAUUAACUGGCAAAGACUUGAUGUACAGCAUGCUGGUAGUUCAAAUAUCCAUACCGCUAUAACAAAUCUUAGGACUUGUUUAGGCCUGCUGAACCUUCUGAAAGUUGAGAUGUUCAAAUAGUUCUAUACCGGCCUUUCAGAAAGCGCUUGGUGUUUGAGAUGUUUAAGUAGUUCAGAAAACUGGAUUGUAGAUGCAACUCCUUUUUUUUUCCAGAUUUUACGUGGCAUAAUCACGUUUCAGUUGUUACAACAUUCAACUGUACUUUUGGCGAGAAUAAUAGAAUAGAAAUCAUUGCUCACAAAUACAAGAAUAACAAUACAAAGGUAAAAAAGACCGAUCCAAUCAAAAAGAAAGCUAGAAAGUUGUAUUGGGCGUUCACUCAAACAACCCAUAUCCACUGAAAAAUAGCUAACGUGAAAAAAAAAUCAGCAUUCAAAUUGUGAAUUUUUUCAGGAAAAAAAGGGACUUACACAACUAAGUUACCCGAAACAUGAAAAUUUAUGUCUCAUCAAAGUACAGAGCAUAGGAUUCAUAUCGAUCCACAGGACAACUUCAUUACAAAAGUAUGUGGCUCUAACAAGAAGCAAAAUAAAUGAUUCAGCAUCUAUCAAGCCCUCAAAAAGGCAUAAAAGUCACUGUCAUCAUCCAAUCAGGAGAGAGAGAAAGAGAGAUACCUUGCUCCAUUAUCACCUAGUCCAUGAAGCCACACUAUUGUGGCUAGAUGCCUCCCUUUUGGCCUCACUACAUGGGUCCUCCCAUAUUCAAAAGACCUUGUAGAACCCCUACCACCUAUAAUUAUUCAUGUAAGCAAAAACACUAGAUCACUAAAAAAAAAAAAACAUAUCAAAGAGGACUACUACAAAUAAAAUGGCAAAAAUAAACAAAUAAAAUGGCAAAAAUAAACGGAACAAAGAAACAAUAAUCAAACCAGAAGCAACUGAGCUGCUCCCAUAGUUCAUCUCAACUUCACCAAAAAGCAACCCUUGCAAUGACUAGGACCAGGUUUCGCUGCAAUAAAGAAGCGCCCAUUUGACCUCUCUACUUAUACCGAUAUACAGAGUAUAGAAUAAGAAUAAGAAUAAGAACCCAUUAAACAUAGCAAGACUAACAAAACCCAGAAAGGAAAAGAGAUAGAGACAGAGAAAAAAAAUGAAGCUUUUGUAUUUGAGGUAACAGAAUCUAUGAGAAGGUCAUAGACCAACAUGCAUCACCAAAUGAGCCUAUACAAACACAAAUAAGGAAAGGAAAAGAAAUGAAAAGGAAAAUAAAGGGAUUGGGUUUGCUUGUUACAGGAAUCAAUGCUUCAACAUUAACUUUUUUUUUGUUUUUUUGCUUGGUUUUUAAGAACCCAAAACAAGGUUUGAACUUUGAAGCAGAAAUGGUAAAAGGAAGGUAUAAUCAACAACAAGUUGCGAACUUUAUGCAAGUAAUCAUUAAACAGGAAUAAAAUGCUUCCACAUCAACUUAUUUGAAUGGCUUCUUAUAACCCAAAACAAGGAUUAAACUUUGCAGCAGAAAUAAUAGCAACAUAUACAAUAAACUGGUAAAAAGAAGGUAUAAUCAACAACAAGUUGCAAGCUUUAUGCAAUUAAUCAUUAAACAGGAGUAAAAUGCUUCUACAUCAACUUAUUUGGAUGGCUUUUUAGAACCCAGAACAAGGUUUGAACUUUGAAGCAGUAACAGUAUAGCAGCACAAAACAUAAAUAGGUAAAAAGAAGGAAUAAUUAACAUCAAGGUGCAAACUUUGUGCAAUAAAUAAUUAAAAAGGAGGGGGAUUUGAAGUGGGUUUUGAGGGUACGAACCUACGAUUGACAGAAAAAGUAAAUGCUCUUUUCUCUCCCCCUGAAUAAGUGUAUUGGUCGGUGCUUGAGAAGUGCGAAUUGUUUCCCUUUUUUUUUCUUUUAAGCACAACACGAGGGUGAAAGAUGUUAAUUUGUAGACCCCUCAACCAAACUCUAAUUUUUAAAUACGCCCCUGAACUUUUUCCUUUUUUCUUUGAAAUCCUCAAUUUUUAGGUACUUUGAUUUAAAUUACUUUUAUCAAAGCAAUAUAUACAUAUGUUUGGAGGGAUGUAAGUGAUAGAUUUGUAUGUAUGGAAAGGUGCGAAUGAUAAUUUUGAUUUUGAAGGAGCAUCUGUAAUAUUUUCAAGUUUUAAAGAGUUAUAUUUAAAAUUGUCCCGAAUUUUAUAUCAAUUGACUAUAAUAUUUUCAAUACAUAUGGAGGCUUCUCAACUACAUGUUAUGCUGAUUGAGACUUUUCUCAACUUCUAACUUUUGAAAAUUUGAGUUGUUAUUCUAACCAUUAGGCAUCAAUUAUUUCAAUUUUGUCUCUGUGUAAAAUUAAUAAGUUUGAUAAAACUUUUUGUUUAUUUAGUUUAGAAAAAUGUAAAGAAAUACAGAAUUUAUCUGACCUAUGAAUCAUUUGAUAUUUUGACUUUCAAUUUUUAAUAAAUCAUUUAUCUCCACAGUUUGAAGUUAAAGUACUAUCGACUGACUCACAGAUCGAACAACUGAAAAAAUUGAAUAAUAAGAUCAAAAUUUUGAAAGAUUGAAUAAACGAUUCAUAAUAAUUUAUAGUAAAAACAAGUUAUGUAUAAUGUACCAAAGAGAAAUAAUUUUUUUUUGAGAGAUAAGUAGCACGCUACCCGCCUCGAUUAUUUCAUUUAGAAAUAAACUUAGCUGUAAAUGUGAAUCAACUAGGAUUCGAACUUGGACAAAGAGAAAUAAAGUUGAGGGGGACAUUUCAAUACAUUUCCACAAAAAUAUAUCAAUAAUGAAAAUGGAGAAGGAGAGGAGCCUCUAUGAUCAUCAUCAUGAGGGUGUGGAAACUUGGGAGGUGGAGACAUGGAAAGGUGGAAGAUGAUCACGUGAGACCCACGUGGAUCCUAGGCAGGGUAGCAGAUCCUAGUGGAGCAAAUUAAGGCCCACACUGCUCUCUUACAGGAGCCAAUAUUAUUCCCUGGGUCAUAUGUGACAACACACCUCGUAACUUGCCGGGUCAUAUGUGACAACACACCUCGUAACGCAAAUUGCGAAUUAAACUUACGUAGUAGUUUCAAAUUUUACUUUCGUUCUCAAAAUUUUAAGUUGAGCUUGGAUUCCGAUCUUUUCACUUUCGAAGAGUAAUUUGCGGUAUCAUCUGGUGCGUUCGUAUAUCUGUAAACUAUUUAUACUUGUUGAAUUCCUAUCUGUAUCCAUAUAUCCGACGCAUAACAUAAUAGCUAUGAUACCGACUGUUUCUAUAACAAGUGGCAAAGAACCUGAUAGUUGGUAUCCGAGACCCAAGUUCGCAGUAUUACCCUGAAAUCGGUGCCACCAUAUGUUUUGUGUCUAAAAGCUCUAGUUCGAGUCAGAUGCGAGGCCAUGCUAAACUCCGGUUGCAUGUCGAACCACCAUGAAAAUGCACGUCAAGUUACGGUGAAUUCAAUUGUGCGCUGCAAAACCAUGUUGUACCAGCUGUUUAAAGUAAUUUACUGAGCAACCGUGUAGAAAAACGUACCGAACUUACAUGAAAUAUAAAUUAUUUUGAGUUGGCAACUCAAUCUUUCAAAAUUUUAAUUAUACUAUUUAGCCCUUUAAUACUUUAAUUUCGAAAUUUAAAUGUGUCGCUUAUUUUCAUAAGCUUUAUUAAUAUAGUUCAAAUAAUUUUCAUAAUUAUAAAUUUAUUUAAAUAAAAAAUUAGUUUAAAUUUUAAAAUUAAAGUGUUGUUAACUAACUCAUAUCAAACAAACUAAAAUAUUAGAUAGUAAAAAUUAAAAGUUUGAAAGAUUAACUCGUCGAUUCAAAAUGAUUUACAAUCCAGAAAAGUUAAAAAAAAAAGGGGAAAUGAUCCCUACCUCACCGGCUCACCCACUGUCGAUCUGAGCAAAACCCGAGCUGAGUGUGGGUUCAAACUUAAAAGCGAGCCUAACUUUAGGCCCGGGACAUAUUGUUUUCUUUUCCCAUCUUGGACCCAGCCCAAAUCUACAAUAAAGAAUACAAUUAAAGCCCAACUCGGUCCAAAAUAAACCAAUUAGGUCGGGACCAAUAUAAUAAUUAAAUCUAAACAUGGACCAAAUUUAUAUACAAGGCAUCACGAAUCUCAAAGACAAUGCUAUUCCCGCCGCAGAUCUACAACUCAUGCCCUAGAUUGGAAACCCCCAAAACCCAACGUCUCUCCUUCAACCCCGUUCCCGCCCCCUUUCUCCUUCCUCCUCCCUCGGACACCACCAUUAAUGGCGACUCAGGAGAACGGGAGCGGCGCCGAUGCUCCUCCGAGCAGGUCUUCCUCCUCCUCCGCCGCCGCCGCCGCCGCCGCCGGCGUCGACAAGGGCGUCGACUUCGCCAACUACUUCUGCACCUACGCCUACCUCUACCACCAGAAGGAGAUGCUCUGCGACCGCGUCCGCAUGGACGCCUACUACAACGCCGUGUUCCGCAACAAGCACCACUUCCGCAACAAGGUACCUAGGGCAAUCCGACGGUUUAAUUUGGUGGGAUUGGUGCGAAAGGUCGUGCUGGAUGUGGGCACGGGGAGUGGCAUUCUCGCAAUUUGGAGCGCGCAAGCCGGGGCGAGGAAGGUGUACGCGGUGGAGGCCACGAAGAUGGCCGAGCACGCGCGGGAGCUCGCGAAGGCGAACGGCGUGGACGAUGUCGUCGAGGUGAUCGAGGGGUCGAUGGAGGAGGUCACUUUGCCGGAGAAAGGCUAGUGCAGUGAUAUGUAAAUAUGUGUCAAAUUCAUCUCCCUUUUUGCUUUAUUUACUCGAAGUAUGGUAUUUUGAUUUGUGGCCGUGGGGAUUGAUUGCAUUGCAGUUGAUGUUAUAAUAUCGGAGUGGAUGGGUUAUUUUCUCUUGAGGGAGUCGAUGUUUGAUUCGGUGAUAUGUGCUCGCGACCGAUGGCUGAGACCGGAUGGAGCAAUGUAUGUGUGUGAUAAUUUUCUUUCCUUUUCUUUCGAUUUACUGCUUUUAAGUUUGAUUCUUUGCUUGUUCACUGUGAGACAUUGUUGGAACACUCUUCAAAGGUAAAUUACAAGAAAAAAAAGCAGAAGAUGAUAAUAGCAUCAUCUACAGGUAAAUAAGGUCAUCUUUACAGGAAAAUGUUAUUACAAAAUACAAAUGCGUAGUAACUGUCAUUAUUCAGGGUACUAUCGAUAUUGGACAGAAAUAUAUUGCAAUGAACAUUCUAGUUUUACAUUCUGUGGCGCUGGGAGUUAAUCUAUGACAGUAUGUUCUUAAUUUAGUUCUAAAAAUUUUAGUUCACGCCAUACUUUUUCCUGUUUUACCUUUAUUGGAAAUUACUUCUAGUGGAGGUGCAACUCAUCAUCUGACCUAGUUUUGUUAAUGCAGGUAUCCUAGUCAUGCUCGGAUGUGGGUCGCACCUAUAAGAUCUGGUCUGGGCGAUCAGAAAAUCGAUGAUUUUGAACGUGAGAUGAAUGAGUGGCAUAACUUUGUUGACGAGACCGAAGCUCAUUAUGGUGUCAAUAUGAAUGCUCUGACAAAGGCCUACCGUGCAGAACAUGAAAAAUACUAUUUGAAGGUAAAUAUUAGACCUCUUUCUACAAUAUGUAAAAACGUAUAUUUCCCUGUUGCUUUAUAUUGCUUUAUGCUUUACACUGAACAAUAACAGCCAAUUGGGAAUUCAUGUGGAAAACAUGCGUAUGAGCAUGUGCUUUUAUAUAAAAAAAAUACUUCUAUACAUUUAUGUUCUGUUGAUUUUGACUGCCAGAAGCUGUAAUCAUCAAUAUAGUCCGAUUUUGUUUUCGCUUGUUACUAAUCCUCUGUAAUUGUUCUGUACUUCCUAGACAUCAAUGUGGAGUAACGUUCAUCCAAAUCAGAUUGUAGGAACUGCUGCUGUUAUUAAAGAAAUCGAUUGUUUAACAGCUACAGUAGAUGAAAUCCGCAGUGUUAUGGCACAGGUCACCAUGCCUAUUAUUAUGGACAGGGCAAGAGUGUCCGCAUUCGCUGGGUGGUUUGAUGUUCAUUUCCGAGUAAGUUUUACCAGUUAUAUUUACAGAAAUUUCUUCUGACAUGCAUGGAAAAACAUCUAUUCAAACAUAUGCUCCUGUAACAUGUGACUUCUCGUAUAUGCCCUUGGAUCUACCCCUAUCUUAAGUUGGAAAGACAUCACAUUUAUGCAAGGGAAGUUGGUUUGGAUUGUUUUUUAUUUUAAAGAGGGGGUUGGGGUGGUGUGUUUUUGUUGUUUGGGAGAUGUCAAUUCUUUUUCUCUGGGUGUAUAUGAAACUUCAGCUUUUGCAGAGAUAUGUAUCGUUCUUAUGUAUUGACAUCUUUCUUGUAGGGUAGCACGCAGAACCCAGCGAUGCAUGAAAUUGAGUUGACUACUGCUCCGAGUGAGGAUUUCGGGACUCAUUGGGGUCAGCAGGUGAGAUUUCCAGGCAUAUAAACUAUAACAUCAUUUUUCCAUUACAUGGGAUUUUGUUGGAGUUUCGGGCCUGUUUGGCUUCGCAAAAGAUUUCUUGGAAGUACUGUUUCAGUAGACUUGUUCGAAAAAAAUGUUACUAGCUUUUCUUCGGCUGUAAUCCCUACAAACAGCUUCUAACUGCAGCAGAAGUGGAAGCUGGGCUUUUUUUUUUUCUCCUUUGGGUUUUUAUAUUUGGUCAGUAACUGCCUAUUCUUUUUAUAUCAAAUUGAAGCUCCUAAAUAAAAGAAUAAGAACGUUCUUGCUUUAGAUUACCAAUAAUUGUACAAGAAAUACCUGUGUUUGCCUGCAUAUUCUAGAAGAGUUGACAUUUUACCCUUUUUUUUGGUUAAAUUUUGAGCAGGUAUUUUUGCUGCAUCCUCCUAUUAGAGCUAAUGAAGGGGAUAAAAUUAUCAUGUCCUUCACAAUGAGCCGAUCCAAGGAAAAUCAUCGGUUGAUGAAUGUCGAAUUCACCUGUGAAUUGGAGCAGUCAUCUGGCAAGCGGCUCUCGCCUGUCACUUCCAAGGUUUUCAUUGAGUAGAAAGAAGCUAAAUUCAUCAGAGCAAGAAUGGUAUGCUUAAGCAAUCUUUCAUACUAUUUCGCGAUCACAAUUCACUAAUAUUAUGUGUAAACAUGGCCACAAAGCUGCAGAUUUAAAAUUCAAUUGCUAAUUUUUGAUCUCUGAUUGAUGCCUACCUUCUAGUGUUAUCUGUUUGCUCUCUCUCUCUCUCUCUCUCUCUCUCUCUCUCACGCACACGCACACGCACACGCACACGCACGCGCACGCAUGCCCGCACUCACACGUGCACGGGAACAUGCACGCACGAGAAAUAUAGGUUCCUCAAAUGUCGAUAUUGUUAUCACAUGCUUUUGAUCAUUUACUGAGUUGCUAAUAAUGCUGAUAGUUUUUUCAAUUCUGAACUUCCAAUUGUUUUUUUAACUGCUGCUUAAUUACAUUUGUUGCUUGGCGGCAGGCUCAGGAACUCUCAAGUCUCAACUCCCAAGUGAUUUGGUCGGUUUGUGUACUAUUCUCUUCUAUUAGAAAACAAUUUGUUCUCGGAAUGUCGGCAACGUCGAUCCCGUGCAGACAAUGGUGAAGUGGUAUGAGUUUUCUUCAUUGGACGCGAUUCCGAUCUACGUCACAGGACGUGUUUUUAUGGAGCUUUUGAGGCUUAAAAGCUUUUGUAGUGGUCGGAGUUUCUAUGACCUGUGUAUUCACUUGUUUCUUUUGUCGAGUGUUUUAUUCAAAGCAAUUCAUGGUUGAAAAAGUAAAAGACUUUCAGGUAAGUCUUAUAAAACUGUUUUUGACAGAAGCCUGCUACUUUUUUCAGUUAGAAUCCAUUCGACAGUUAUAUUUCUGUAGAAAUAAUUUCACAUUCAUCUAAUCUUAUUUAAGCUUCCUGCUGCAGCUUUUGCGAAUACAAAUUUUUUGCUUAAUUUACUGUAUAGAAUUAGGUACUAUAUUAUUAAUAGUGUUUUUGUGUUAUUAGGUUUUUGGCUCCUAGAAGAAAGAAUAUACGUUUAGAAUGAUAGUGGUCUUUUAGAGUUUAGUGGGUAAUUGGUUGAAUAAUAUGAUCUAAUAAAAAUUUGAUAGUAUCGAGCGCUUGGUACUAUUCAGAAUAGUAUAGUAGUCUGAUUUUACUAUAUAUAUAUAUAUAUAUAUAUAUAUAGAGAGUGAGGCUACUAUGCUAUCGGAAGCACGGAGUCUUCCGUACUUCCAGCUCGUUUUCGAUGUUGCGACUUUCGAAUCGUCGAUCGGCUCUGUUAAACUUGAUCUAGAGUAUUUGGAGUACAUAGAAAAUAAAUUUUAUUAUUUUUCGAUACCAUUUGCCUAGUGAUCGAAUAGGCUCAAAAUCAGCAAAUUUCAAUGGCCGUCGUUUGCAAGUUUAACGGUGUAGAAAUAUCCAAAUCGCGUGAAAUUUUGAUAGAAAAUUCUUUAUACUAUAUAAAAUAAGAUCAAUAUUUUUGAUUUAAAAUUUUAAUAUCAUAUUAUUAUAUUUUGUAAGAUUUUUAUUUUCAGCCGUUGAUUUUGAGCCCCUUCGUUCACUAGGCAAAUGAUAUCGUAAAAUCAUAAAAUUUAUUUUCUANNNNNNNNNNNNNNNNNUAUAUAUAUAUAUAUAUAUAUAUAUAUAUAUAUUUAACUGGCUGAAAUAUCAAAGAAGAGAGUUGUGAAUUAAAAAAAAAGAAAGUUUAGGGACUUAAUUCGUAAAUGGAGGCGGCCUUGGUGUAUUUGACCCUUUCUCACGAGACCAGCACGUACCGAACUUAUCUCCUCGAUACCAAACUUUGAUUUGUAAUAUUACACCUCAACCUUUGGUUGUCUCAAAAUGAACCCCCGAUUUUGCCUUUUUAAUUGACAUGAUUUUGAGCCUAAAUUUCUUUAAUUAGAGUUAUUUGUAUUAGCUUCUGAAAAAACAGAGAAAAAACAGUUCUUAAAAUUAAUUGCUAUAACUCCAUGGAGAUGAUGGACGCUUUAAAAUAAUGGAAAUUACUGUUAAAGUUGUUAAAUUUAACUGUUCAAAAUUUCUCAAAUCAAAGCAAAAAUAAAUAAAUAAAAAUCUAAAGCUUCGGUUGGCAUCGUAGUUAUUUCCUAUAAUUUUACACGCUAAAAAAUUCUAUAAAAUUGCAAGUAAAUUAGUAUUCCCUCCCACACUAUUUGAUGUAAAACUUUUAUUAUCUUAUAAAAGAGUAGUUCGGGGGGGUCUUGUUCCAAAUAGCCAAUAGCGGAGGGGCCACAGUGCACUUUUCCCGCUCUCCCCGAGUCCCAUCGGUACCAAACAAUCUCGCGGGAGGAGCGAAACCAUUCACGAAAUCUCCUCGACACCAUUACCAACCAACCAACCACUCUUCGUAUCCUCUCUCUUUCUCUCUCUCUCUCUCUCUCUCUCUCUCUCUCUCUCUCCUUCGCCUCCGACGAUGCACCGCUCCUCGAGCGCCGCGCGCACGUCCGACGAGUACUCCUCCCCCGCCGCCGCCGCCGCGGCGGCGGCGGCGAAGGGCGGCGGAGGCGGCGGGUCCUUCGCGGUGUCAGAUCAACUCCCCACCUACGAUCCCCGAUCCCACGCGGGGAGGAAGGAGGCGGCGCGCGCGAGGUUCGCCGAGGACGCCGUCCACGCCAUCCCCGUCGUCCUCGUCCUCUGCGCCUUCCUCCUCUGGCUCUCCUCCGACCCCGGUACGAUCACCCCCCCGCAUCGUGCUCUUGUUAGGGUUUCUUUGUGUUGUCGUGCUUGUUUGGGUCGAAAGGUAUCAUCGUCGAUCAGGAUUACGAGGAAAUUUUAGCUUGCACUUGCGUUUGGAAUCAAAUCUGAGUAGGAUUCAACUAAUCUCGAUUUAGAAGAACAAUACGAUUCGGCUCGAUUCGAUUAAUUCCAAUUUGGAAUAAAUUGGAGGCGAAUUAGAUUCCAUUUUUGUUUUAUUGUUAGGAUAGAAAUGGAAAAUCGUUUCAAUAUGUUUUACUUUUUGGUUAAACAAUAGGAGAAGAGUACAUAUGAUUAUUUUUAAGUAGAGGUAUAUUGGGGCUACAAAUAUAUUUUAAACUAAUAUCAUGAAAAAUUCUAGUAAAAUCAUUUUGAAACCUAAUCAAAUAAUGGUUCCGGAAACAAUAAACUAAAGAAAAUUGCAGUUCCAAUUUGCUGGAAUUUUAGGUAAUAAUUUGGAAAUUACUAGGCCAUGUAGGUAUUUCUGUGGUAAUUUUCACCUCUAGAUUUUGUGUGCUCUGUUCAUAUACAAUGAAGAGAUUUUUAAUGAAUGUGGAACUAGCAAAAAAAAAAAAAAAAAAAACUGUUUUGAUAAGAAAUUCAAUUUCAUUACUAAUGUUUUCUUUUUUGUACAAGUGUUUGGUUAGGGAAUUAAGUGGGGAUGAUGGAGAUAUCCUGCGAGAUAUCAAUUAUCGUGGAAUUGUGUUAUUCUCUGGAAUAAGCCUUUAUCCCAACUAAUUUCAAUUUUUCCUAGUGAAACACGGGGUCGAUAACAUAAGAAGAGUUAAAAUCCUUCUUAGGGACCUUUUGCACCCCCCCAGGAUAAAAAUUCUCAAACAAAACAAUACCUUAUGUCUUUUCCUUUGCUAAUGUAACAACUGGGUGUGGUAAGUUUGUUAGACAUUGUCUUUCUUGGAUGUUCCAAGAUCAUGCCUUUUAUUUCACUUAGUUUUCUUCUAAACAGAAGUUGUUAUGGUGAAUAAAGAUCAUCCUGUUGUUGCCAGAAUCAAGAAUAUGACGAACAAUUGAUGCGUACGAUGACACUCCAUCUUAGCACUUAAUAAAGGAAUUGAUCAGAAUGUUUUUGAAGAAGCGAGAAUAGCUUUGCGAGUGAAGGACCAGAAUAAGGGAUCUCUACUUCUUUUUCGGAGAAGAGUACAACCAACUACUAGCCUAUCUUUUUUAUCUUGGUACAUAUAAUUCUUUCGAGUAACUCCAUUUAUUUGAUUCCGUUUUGCAAGUAAGUUCAGUGUUAUUUUCUUUGGCAUUUUUUAUUUUUAUGAAUAUUGAGACUGGAGCAAUAUUGUCUUCUAACUUGGAUGCUCUUUCCAUCAUUUGGAAUAGAAAUUUGUUGAUGCAAAUAGAAACCUAUUGAUACUGAAUAAAUCUCCUCUCCCUCGGUGCAAAAUUUCUAGCUUCGAUGAACAUCGCGUGCAAAAGCAAAAUUUAUCCAGUAUCAAACUGAAUUUUCCACCGCAAUCGAUUAAUAACUUCGGCUGAAGCAAUCUGUUCAAUUGGUUUCGUACUUCUGUAGAAAAUUGGAUUGGAAAGUUCAUAAAAAAUCAAAUGGUUUGCCUUAUUUUCACCAUCAGUUUUAGAUGUAGGGCUCUGUUCAAAUUACUGUUCUUGAGAAAGAAAGAUGUUAUAACAUGCUGCAGAUGAGCUAGCGAUAUCUUGGAGCUUAUGCACUUAAAUCAAUUAGCUUACCUUCGUCUUCUUAUCUAUCUUCAAUCUCCAUUGUUCACUUUUUAUUGUUUGAUUUAUCGUAGUUUCAUUUUUGAUCCAAACUCCAAUUCUCUAAAAUACAACAAUUAUCUUCGGUCCACUUCAGGUCAAAGUCAACUACGUCGUCCAUUCAUUUUUACGCAUUCACUUAUUGUCAAAAAAAUUAUAGAACCUAGAUGAAUAUCAAUUUUAUAACUAUAAAAGCAAGCAGCAAAAUCCCAGUUCGGUACUAUGCUAUCUUGUUCUUGAAAAAAAAAAAAAAAAAAAAAAAAAAAAAAAAAAAAAAACAAGCAGCAAAAAAAUUUAUUUAAGCACAAGUCAUCUAAAAAUCUAUCUUAAUCAGAACUUCAUUGCAAACUUGCAAUUGAUUAUUCACCAUGGUAUAGUUUGAAAAUAGCGCGGAAACAAAGAGAGCGCAUUAAAAAUGCGGUCUUAUGUCUGACGUGGCAAACAAUUUCCAGAGACUUUAAUUCGGAAAUCUUGGCUAGGUUCGUGAAGUCUAAAUGAGAAUUAUCCCUACACCCAGAUCAUCAUCCGAACAUCCAUGAACCGCUUGAUGUAUUAUCUCUCCAUUUCGUCAACUUCCGUACGGACGGCCAGGAGGACCGGAUCACAGAUGUAACCAUGCACCCGAUUCACGUGAUAGUUUCUCUGUCGCGUUACGGAGGAUUCGUUCGCAUUGUCGCAGAGCGAGCGACUACAGGAGAGAAACUUGGAUUCGAAGAAACCAAUGGAGUCGUUUCCAUCCUCCCCCUCGAUUUUAUUACUAAAACCCUAAUUAUAGUAAUGCUCUCGGAUUCGAUAGAGCGAGAGCGAGAUCGACGCGAUCGCGGAUGGAUCCCCUCGCGAUCCGCUUCCUCGUCUCCCUCCUCGCCUCCUCCGCGAUCGCCGCUCGAUCCUUCCGCCGCAGAUCCGUGGAUCUGUCGGGCGUUCUCGUCGGGAUCCCGGUCAUGGUGAUCCACAUGACCGCGGGCUAUAGGUUUCGCGAUCUCUUCUUCUUCGCCUUCUUCUUCUUCGUGUUCGUUCGAUUUAGAUCGGAUUUUGCUUACUCAGAGGUGUUGAACUGGGUUUUUGAAGGUUCGCGGCGCUUCUUCUGGUGUUCUUCUUCACGUCGUCGAAGCUCACGAGGGUCGGGGAGGAGCGGAAGCGCGCCAUUGAUGUGGAGUUCAAGGAAGGGGGGCAGAGAAAUUGGUGACAUUUUGUUGUAGCAUGUCAACUGUUUGUGAAAGAUUUGGUCUUUCUUAGGCUCGCUAAUUGUUGCCACUUCCAUUUUUUUUCCUAAACUUUUGCUCUUCUAAUUGUUUGAUCUUCUAAAAUUUUUGCUUCUCAUUAGUUGGUAGAUUUCAUUAAGGAUAUUUCGUCGUGUGCUGGCUCUACUGAGCUCUUUAUUUGAUUGCUAUACCCUAAAAAUAGGAUCUUUAUUAGUUGGUGUCUAUAUUUUAGGCCAUUUAAUGAGAUUUUACUUUCAUUUAGAUUUUUUCUUUUUUCCUGUUUACUUGAUGCUAAGUCUAUUUAGUGUUUGCUGUAAUGCUUAGCUUAUGUCGUCAUUUGAUGAGACGUCUCUAAAUCUGGCAAAUGAUAUGUUUGUCCAAAAAAGUGAACAAAAGCUAUCAAAUUUUGAGUUGUCUAGUUUAGUUUCUAGGAAAGAUGGUGGGAAACAUUCUCCUUCCAUAGCGAAAUAGUAUGAGAUGGUAUGGUUAGCUUAUUUGUCAUAUUCAAGAUCAUUAUAGCUUAAAGAGAAGUGCUUUAACGAAGCUAUUCCUUCUAAUAAUCAAGAAUGUUUUUUGCUUUUUACUUUGUAUCAGUAUAUCAUGGCAUUAUUGGAGUUCUGAAUGAUUAUUGUAGAUGUUUUUUUUGCGGGAAAUUCUUUUGCCAUGUCUUAUAACUUGCUGUCCACCAUCUAUCCUAAUUGGCAGGGUACAAGUUCUAGCAAAUAGUGGUAUCGCUACAGUUUUGGUAGUUAUAGUAGCAUUCUUAACUGGGGGACAAGAUAGGUGCUUGGAUACAAAAGAGUCAAAUUAUGUAACUGGACUAAUUGGUGGUAUUAUCGGACAUUAUGCUUGCUGCAAUGGAGAUACUUGGUCUUCGGAACUUGGAAUACUUAGCAGAGGUCAACCGCGGCUGAUCACAAACUUCAAGGUAUGAGUUUUUUAUAUUUCUGGGAAAUCUUCUAUAUGCAUGGUUCUUAGUUAAUCUGGCGUUUAUAUUCAAGAAAUUUCUUUUGUUUAAUUAAUUUUGCGGAGAAAGUAGAAGCGUUUUACUUUUACUUUGUUGUCCCAAUUAGUUCCGUCCAUUUAUCUUAUUUGUAACCCCCGUUUAUCUAAAUUUUGCUAUUCCUUUUUCAAAAUCUAUUCUUAUAGAUGUUCAAUUCAUACUUCAUACAUAAGUUUGGAUUCAAAAUAAGUGCUCUGGCUUACAUCAGUUAAAUUUGCAUAAUAUUGGUCACACUUUGGUUAAAAGCUUCUUUUUGAAUCUGGCUAGUAAAGCAGCUUGAAAUUAAGUAAUUCGACUGUUAACUCUAUCUUGCUUUAAGCAGAUUUUUACUAUAGUAAGAGUUCACUACCUCUCUAAAACCCUACGGAAACUGCUUUUCUGAUAAGCUAAAAAUCAUAACAGAAAGGUGAAGAAAUAUGCAAAUUUUCUGUUAUAUGCAUAUUUUCUAUUCACAUACUUUCUCACUGCUUUUUCAAUCAGAAGAUAUUAAUUUUUAUUACUACUGAUAUUAUUCUUCACCUCCAUUCAAUCAGAAAGUUAGAAAGGGCACAAACGGUGCAGUAACUGUUGAUGGGUUUCUAGCAGCAGCUGCAGCGGGCUUUGUCAUUGGGCUCACUUUCGUCCUAGUUGGAUUCCUCACCUCUGAAUGUGCUCCUAAGAUAGCUCGGAGGCAGUUGCUUGUUGUACCGAUUGCUGCAGCAGCUGGGCUGUGCGGAAGCUUGAUUGAUUCCUUGUUGGGUGCAACACUGCAAUUCAGUGGAUAUUGCACUUUGCGAAAAAAGGUAAAUAAUUCUUCACCAGUCAUUGUUGUUUUCUUUCUGAUGGUCAUUUGGGCGAAAUUGUUUUACGAGUUGUAUUAUGAGUUUGUUAUCCUACUUUCAUGUAAGUAUCAAUAUACUGCUUACCUUCAUUUGGUAUCGAGAGUGUCACCAAUUUUAUCGGUAUUGUCCCCUUUCAUCGAAUAGAUUCAACUCUGCCAUCAUCUUACAUUUUUACAUGGUCGGUUUUUCUGAUAUUCCAAUAAAAAGCUAAUAAGGAUUUUAAUAAGCAAAGCUUGAUAUACAUGCUGAUUUAUUAAGCUUAUGGACAACAAGUAUAGCAUAAAAAGACUUCAUUCGGUAGAUCUUUGGCUCUUUGAUGACUUGAUAAUUAAAGUUAAGAGGACAGUGGCUCCUCGAAUUAGAAGGCCUGACUAGCUAUCAAGCACUUUAUUGUGCUAUUCGUUAUCCUUCUAGUACGAUACUCCUAUUUGGUAUAUAUUUUUCCAAAAUUGUUCUAAUUGUUCAUAAAUCUGGUGUUGUUAUGCAGGUGGUUGCAAACCCAGGUCCAACUGUUAGCAAGAUCUCAGGAAGGAACAUUCUAGACAACCAUGGGGUCAAUGUCGUCUCCGUGCUAUUAACAACACUUCUUACAGCGAUCGCGUGCUUGUACAUCUUCUAAGCAUACCGAUCCAUCAUUCCUCUUCGUCUACAUUUGUACGGUAGUUAAUGCUAGCCGGGUUUUCCCACAUUAUUACCAGGAUUAGUGUUAACAGUUGUACCAUAAAGCACACUAGUUGUUAACAAGGCCACGGAUUUUAAUUUUAUUCUUAGUUUUGGAUAAUUUGAUACAUUUUAUUCUUCUAUUAGUUGGGGGGCAAGAUUCAAAGUGCGCGGUGACACGAUACCUGUUGUACUUUACAUUUGUAGAAGCAUUUCGUAAUUACGUGAGGUAGUUCCUUUUUUUUUCGAUUGUAUUGUUUCCUGUAUGAACUCUAGAUGACUUUGAUAUAUGUGCAUCUGUCUGAUCUGUUUCCUUUAAAAACAACUUCUCUACCUAAAGGUAGAAGCUAUGUGUUUAACAGUCAAGAUGUUUGCAGCUUCCGCCGACAGCGAGAAGCUGAAAUGAGCUUCUAGAAUCCGAAUGCAAAAGCUCUAAUUUCUGCCUUUAACUGUAGCAGUAAGCUGCUGGGGUCUUGUUAAUUCUACCAAAUUUUGCAAGCAAUAUAGCAUCAUGGGAACAAGGUUUUUCAACACUUUAUUAGCAACAAACAAAACAAUUUAUAAAUACAUAGUUUAUACUUGCACACGCAUGAAAACCAGGAACUCAAGCAGAGUUCACAAGCAUUCUCUCACGUCUUACACAAGGUGGACAGAGGAACAUGCGCUCGGUCACAACCACGCCAUUAUUUUCGCAUACAACACUUUUUGCGCUCACAUAAAUCCGAUAGAAUCAAGAUGCAUGAAAACCUCGACACUCCGCAAACUCACAAGAGAAUUUACUCUGAUUUGCAGCAACAGCAGAGGCAGUCGAGGCAACACUCGCAGGCCUCGUAGCAGCAGAAGCAGCAUUACAAGGUGAAAAAGCUGUUCAAGAAAGAGUUUAAACGACUCGGAUUAGUAAGUUGAAGUCACCGUGUAUUAUGAUACCUUAAAGGUUGACUUUAUAAGAAACGAUCCAGAAAUAGUCACCAAAUCUAAGAGGACAACAGCGAGCAGAAGAAUGAAGAAGAAGAAAAAGAGCAAUGCAGGUUCCAAACAAGUUACAAACCUUUACUGCUGCAAAACAGUUUGCCGAUUUUUGUUGGCAUGUUUGAUUUCCAUCUAACAGGUAAUAAGGCAAUGAAAUCUCUCUCUCUCACAAAAAGAUUGCUAAAGACUAACCCUUUAACCUGUUCACAAUUUUUUCUUUUUCUUCUGAGGGCUCAAACACCAUCAAUUUAGCAUAAGAGGAAAUAGGCAAACAACAACUGAUUCAACAAUAGCACAAUUUUCUUAUAUCAUAUAAAAUAUUUUUCUCAGUUACGUGGGAUAUAUUGCUUAUCAACAAAUAUGAUGCAUUGGCAAUGGGCCUUAUCCUUUUCUUUGCAUUAGGUGAUGGGCAACUAAAAUUAAUGAAAAGCGACCUCUUUUUUUAUGUGAUAAUGCUAGCUACUUGAUUUAUGAAAGAUCCAAUGGUGCGCAUAAAAUGCAUUCAAUGACUCCCAACUACUUGAUGCAUGUAUUUAUACAAUUAGCUCCUUGACUCUGCCUCAAAAUUUUUAAAAAAUUUUUUUUUCCUCCUAUUUUUGGUGUAAUAUAUAAGAAAUAUAUCCAGUUGUUGUAAAAUGUUCUUUCACCAAUUCAUCAACAAAAAAAAACGAAAAACAAAAAACAAAGAAAGAUAACUUCAUUUAGCAUAAGAUGUCAAUUUGAUGAAUCCAUUUGAUAUCAGGUGAAGUGUAUUUUAUAUUCAAAAUAAAAGUUCGUUACCAGCCGAGGAUCGUAGGGACAUAUAUUUUUGUAAUGGAUUACUCAUAAUUCGUCACGUAACAGCGGGAAGAUGCUAGGGACUUAAAAUAUUUUUGUUCUGGAUUAUUUAUGAUUCCUAUAACUUUCCAACUUGAGUCAUAUAGUGAUGAUUUGGAUAUCUUAAAUACAAAAUAUGAAGAUUUUUUGCAAUAUUACAAACCACAAAAUGAACAGCCCGUAAAAGCAUUCUCAGUUAGUUCUCAACUUUUAAUUUGUUAUAAUUUUAUUCCGGACUAUUAUGUAUAGUUUUAAUUUAUCUAUUAGAACUGACAUAACAAUACUGUGACAAAAAUGCCAAAAAUCGCGAGCAAAUCAUAACCAUUUUGAACUUGAAGAUCAAAGCUAAGCAGUUCAUAAAGUGAGGAAUUCUCUUUUCGACUCCUCCGACUCGCAUAAGAGUUAUGAAUUAUGAUAUAUUUGUGUAUUUUCAAGAAAAAAACGAAGUAGAAAAAUCAAAACAGAAAUGAAGAGGAAGAUAAUCAACUAAUGCAUAUAAUAUUUGAGAGAGAGAGAGAGAGAGAGAGAGAGAGAGAGAUGGACCAAGCAUAGAGCCAGCCCUUCUCAUGGUGGCGCUUCUUGAUGUGUUCUGCGUAGGACAGGUUCUCUGGAUCCGCCAUUUUUAUAUGUCUUUAGAUAUAUAUUAUACUAUAUACAGAGAGCGAGAGCGCGAGAGAGAGAGAGAGAGAGAGAGANAAGUGCUUAUUACAAAGCAUAGAGUGUUUGUGUGUGUGUGCGCGCGCGCGUGUGUCAAGGGUGGUGCCUUCUAGUGUCGGCAACCACGUGCGUGGCACGUGCUUGUGUAUAUUAUUGCAUUGCACGUUAUAAUUUCAUAUAUAGUUUCUAUCUCAUAUAUGUAAGUCUUUUUAUAAUUUUUCUAAAAUUUUAAUUUUAAUAAUUUUUUUAUUUAAUUUUAUAUAAGUGGAUUUAUCAUAUGCGGGUCCAUUAAUUAAAGUUGCUUUGGUGAUAGGCCCCUCCCUCGUAGGAGGAAUUCUACACUGUCAUACUUGCACCACGUCAUCAAUAAUAAGUCAAUUACAUUCCUUCAUUUUAAACAAAAGUAUAAUAAAAAUACUUUUUUACAAUCAUGAUGGAACAUAUAUUCUUAAAAUGAUUAAUUUGAUUGAUUUGUUACGCCACGUCACUAAUAUAUCCGUUGCAUUCUAGAAUUUUUCCUCUCAUAGA